This 57583-nucleotide long non-coding RNA is filed under the name Setaria italica (foxtail millet). Its description in RNAcentral is "long non-coding RNA (SITA_LNC006094)". The stretch from base 22931 to 23066 matches the Rfam family "Small nucleolar RNA Z247". Lineage: Eukaryota; Viridiplantae; Streptophyta; Magnoliopsida; Poales; Poaceae. The record is from RNAcentral.
AAUAAUCAUGUUUCAAUAAAAUUGCUAAGGCCAGAGACAAUACAUAAACAUAUUAGACUGUUCAUGACACAUAUCACGGUGGACAGUGUCUAUGUCCUUAUUACAAGCAGCGAGAGGAAUUAAAUAUGCUUGACACCACACACACGAGCGCACAGAUGCACGACACACAUAUAGUUGAGACCAACAGAUGGACCUCGACUAGAGGUCGCCUCAUAUGGUGAACAAUUUAUUGGAGAUAAACAUGAACAUAACUUGGCCAUAGCUUGAAGCAUAGCAACAUAUGCCUAUGAAUGGCAUUCAUGCUGGUAGCAAUGCAAUCAUAUCGUUUUAGGCUUGUCCAGCUUCUUCCAUCUUAGCAAGCACUGCCAUUUCUUCCAUCUUAGCAGCAACUGUCAAAUUGAGAUAUGGUAUCCCAUUAGCGUAUGAGUUAAUUUUGCACUGGAAAUAGAGUACAAGAUGUCUUCAUGAUGUAAGUAAUAUGCCUGAAGUUGUGAGAUGGGAAGUGAAGUCAACAAAUUACAUUAACGGAAAUGCAUGGAAGGCCACACAUACGUAUUAGUCCACGAUAUGCUACAAAGCUUGUAUGUACAUAUAACAAAUUAAAUGCAUUGAAUAGAGUGAGUUUACUGAAUUUACCAGAAUCGGACAGAACACAUGGGAAACAGCAAGUGUUCUUGCAGAGUGAGUCGGAGCCACCUGCAGUAAUACAAGCAAAACAACAUGCUUUUGCCCGGGCGGAUACGCAGCAGCUGCACUGUGCCGCGGUGGCCGGGUUAACAUUGAGGCUCAAGAUGACCAGGCACAUGAUCACCAUCAAAGCGGUAGUCCUCUUUCCCUCCAUUGCCUCCUCUUGCUGCUACCUUCCUUGGUUACCUAGCUAAGUUUAUUGGUUUUGUGUUGAGAGGUGAUUCUUGAAUGGACGUUGCCGGCUGCAAUUUAUAGGCAGCUGCGCUAUGUGAUGAUAUGGACAAGGUGCAAAUGGGUGGUCCAAUGGCAAGGAAAGGGGGUAUUCUGCUUGACAUUGGCAUCAGACAAAGCCCAAUGGCAACUGCUGACACGCGAUUAAAAUCAGAUCCACAUCUUAUCCAGCCAUUCACUAAUAAUUAAACUAAACCCACGCGGUCCGCGAGAUGCAGCGUCCAUGCAUAGCACUUCCCGCAAACAAUAGGAAAAAUUAGAAUUCAGAGAUAGCAGCUGCUUGCAUGAAACACGGUUGCACAGAAAUCAGUGGUGCUUGGACGGUAAGUAGUGUGGUGUACAAGCUUAAAGCGGCAGUGAGUCACGUUGGUGUAACAAGCAGUACAUCAGCUGGAAGAUUGAUAUGUCUAUUGCCCACGCAGCAUAGCAUUUUAUUAUGAUACAUUGAGUUAUGUCAUAUUGUUACUUUAAGUUAUUUUUUAAGUAUUAGUUGUAGACAAUUUAGUUGCAAAUUUAAGCGGUUAUUUUAAAUUAUUUUUUAUAAUGGAAUAAGUGGGUAAUUUAGAUGAAGAUUAGGGGGUUACUUUAGCUUAUUUUAUAUAAUAGCAGAGGUGGGUAAUUUAGAUAUAAAUUUAGACACGUUUAACAAAAUGUAUCUACAGUUUCUGACACGGUCCGUGUGGAGACGCUCCAGACAUGCUUUACUCAAGCGCAUCUAUACUUCAGUAGAAAUGAAAUAAAGCGUAUCUAACAUAGGAAUAAAGUGUAUCUAGAGGAGGUUUUUCUUGUAGCGAGGGAUGAACCAUUAUUGGACGAACUGGCACACUUGCUUCUACCCGCUCCCCCACACCCCACAACCGCCCCCAGUGUGAGCGUCCAAGUCUCGAUCGUUGCUCGCGUUAAGCGGUGCCGCCGCACUGCACCACAGCGACAGAAGCCACACCACCGGCUGCAUGUGACAGCGGGGAGCACCCUCACCACCUGCCCGCGGGGAGCGCUUACGCCAGCCAUAGUGUCCCCGUAGAACCGCCACGCGAGCAUGUGAGCCACCGACCGCCGUGCCCCCAAGGGCCAUCACCGCGCUACCCGAGGAUGUUGUCUACCCGGUGCCACGCGCCUCUGCUAGGUGCCUGCACCUGGGCCGCCACCGGUCGCCUGCACAGCCACGUGUUGCAGCUGCCCCCUGCGCUGAGCCACCCCAUUAAACGUUGGAAGAACCACCUGAGUCUCGCACGCCGAGGUCUUGCUGGUGACGACCAUGGCCUCCGCGAUCAUAUGAAAAAGUUGUCAACUACAAAGUAUUAGGCCUCGUCGAGCUCUACAAUUUUGAUCGAAAGUUUCUAUUCAUCCGAGAUCAAAUGAAAAAGUUGGUACUCAAAAUAUACAUCCAUUAAUCUAGUCGUGCUAAUCCUUACCACAAAUUAAAAAACUAGCAUGUGUCGUGUGUUUGUGACCCUAAACAAUCACAAACGAAUAACUUAUCAACUUCAAAAUUUAGCUGAUCAGGAGUCUAGGCAACCUCAAGGGUAUAAAUAUGUGCACCCUGAGGCUUGCAAGAUUUUAUCUCUCGAUUAAUCAAUGCAAUUUUUGGGCGCCACGCAGCCAAACCCUUAGGAGUAGAAGUAACGUAGCUUUUUGAUGAGUAUCUUCUUGCGCGCAGGGCUGCAUCAGCUUCGAUAUCCGACGAACUUGUAAGUACCGUCAUCCGGUCAUUACGUUAUCUAUAUUAAAAGUUUCUAGGCAUCAUCCAAUAUUCUAAUCUUUUAUCGUGUGGCUAAUUAUCGAGUUAUCUUAUAUUGUAAAUAAAACUUGCUAGGGUUUGUCCAAUAUUCCAUUUGUUUUCAGCGUUACUGCUUAAUUAGAUCUGCUUAGGUUGUUCUCAUCGGCUUCUAGUCUUGUUUAAACGUUCACAAGUUAUUUGAUCGUAUCGGCAAGUUCGACCUUGCAUGCUUUUAUCGCUUUAUCUAUACUAGGUCCGAUAGAUCUUUACCCCUUCCCCUUGUAUUGCUAGCAGUUGGAUCCAUAACGUUAGAACGAUACUGUUGAGAGCUGAUGCAUUGAUUUAGUAUCAUCCAUAUCUCAUAGAAUGUAUCAUGGUUAAUGGCAAUUUAAUGAAAUUAUAAAGGAUAAUAACAAUCGUGCUUUCGGCGUUCCAAAAAUCAAUCAAGAAUUCAUCAUGGUUGUGCAGUGUAUGGAAACCUUAUGGUAAUAGUUAGAUGGGAAAUGUUGUAUUAUGUAAUAAAUCCAGGUACUUCACAAAUCAUGAUCGAUGGAUGUCUAACACUGUUGAAAGAGAUUGGAAUAAAGCAGACUCACCUCAGACUAUGCACCAUGUCUGAGUGACCCACCUCACCUUGCCAGGUCACUGGUCUUGCCAGCACACAAGCUAUGAUGUUGCCAGGAGUGGUCAGUACACAAAUCUAGCUACCAGUCGGAUCGAAGGGCAGGCAUUUGCAUUGUGGUUGUGCUUGAACAUGGAGAUGUCUUGCGAUUGUCACGCACCAUACAUCCUCUCUCAGUUUCACUCCGCCUCACACACGGAUAGGACACCAGGGACCCGACACCAUGCAUGCCGAUUUCAUAUUAUUAAUAUUUAUUUUUUGAAUGGUUGUUGAAACUAUAUAUAUAGUUAGUCCAAUCUCACGUUUCCGAUUAUAAAAAUUAACAUAAAGAGAUCGGAAGGGAGAGCACUAGAGCCGGCAUUUAUACAAACUGGUAUGAAUAGUAAAAUCUAGAAUUCAUAAAUAAAAAAAUGAUUUGCACAUCUAUGCAAUAAUUAGUGGUUAGUGGUAGGUCUAGAGAGAUAUCUCAUCAAAUCGAUGAGUUAUAUCCGGUUUAAACGAGGAUAAAAAUGAGUGUAGUCUUUUCGCAGCUGUACCGCCUUUCCUUUCGUGUGUUCUAUUGUUCCCCUAACACCAAGUCUCCAAGACUCAAGAAAAUAAGGAAAGUGAUAGCAGCCUAGAAAUCGACCAAGUUUCUUUCCCCCUUUGGCUUUUCUACUAGGAUUCGGAAUCCUCUUUCGCAUGACAAUCUUAAUUAUCUCCCAUAGUUCAAAACUCACAAAACUAUCAAAAAUCCACCGAGAAUAAAUUAUGUAAAAACAUGCACACACAGAUAAUAAUAAUAAUAAUCAUGUUUCAAUAAAAUUUCUAAGGCUAGAGACAAUACAUAAACAUAUUAGACUAUUCAUGACACAUAUCACAGUGGACAGUGUCAGUAUCCUUAUUACAAGCAGCGAGAGAUGCUUGUCACCACACACACGCGUGCACAGAUGCACGACAUACAUAUAGUUGAGACCAACAAAUGGUUGCCCCAUAUGGUGAACAAUUUAUUGGAGAUAAACAUUAACAUAACUUGGCCAUAGCUUGAAGCAUAGCAACAUAUGCCUAUGAAUGGCAUUCAUGCUGGUAGCAAUGCAAUCAUAUCGUUUUAGGCUUGUCCAGCUUCUUCCAUCUUAGCAAGCACUCCCAUUUCUUCCAUCUUAGCAACAACUGUCAAAUUGAGAUAUGAAAAUUCCAUUAGCACAUGAGUUAAUUUUGCAGUGGAAAUAGAGUACAAGAUGUCUUCAUGAUGUAAGUAACAUGCCUGAAGUUGUGAGAUGGGAAGUGAAGUCAACAAAUUACAUUAACGGAAAUGCAUGGAAGGCCACGCAUGCAUACGUAUUAGUCCACGAUAUGCUACAAAGCCUUCUAUGUACAUAUAACAAAUUAAAUGCAUUGAAUAGAGUGAGUUUAGUGAAUUUUACCGGAAUCGGUCAGAGUACAUGGGAAACAGCAAGUGUUCUUGCAGAUGAAGUCGGGGCUACCCGCAGCAAUACAAGCAAAACAACAUGCUUUUGCUCGGGUGGAUACGCAGCAGCCACACUGUGCCGCGGUGGCCGGGUUAACAUUGAGGCUCAAGAUGACCAGGCACAUGAUCACCAUCAAAGCGGUAGUCCUCUUUCCCUCCAUUGCCUUCUCUUGCUGCUACCUUCCUUGGUUACCUUGCUAAGUUUAUUGGUUUUGUGUUGAGAGGUGAUUCUUGAAUGGACGUUGCCGGCUGCAAUUUAUAGGCUGUGUGAUGAUAUGGACAAGGUGCAAAUGGGUGGUCCAAUGGCAAGGAAAGGGGGUAUUGGCAUCAGACAAAGCCCAAUGGCAACUGCUGACACGCGAUUAAAAUCAGAUCCACAUCUUAUCCAGCCAUUCACUAAUAAUUAAACUAAACCCACGCGGUCCGCGAGAUGCAGCGUCCAUGCAUACACUUCCCGCCAAACAAUAGGAAAAAUUAGAAUUCAGAGAUAGUAGUGUGCCAGCAGCUGCUUGCAUGAAACACGGCAAUCAGUGGUGCUUGGACGGCAAGUAGUGUGGUGUACAAGCUUAAAGCGGCCUUGUGUAACAAGCAGUACAUCAGCUGGAAGAUUGAUGUCUAUAGAGGCUUGUUAUUAUCUUUAAUUCCACAUACUGCACAAUGUCAAAGUAAAAUGCGAAAGGAUAACAAGCUGAUACAGAGUGAUUGGAUUUACUUGAGGAGUAGCUUGAAGAAACAUCCAGCAACAACAGAAAAGUCAAAGUAUCGAGCCCAUGAAGCUAUAAAGCAGAUUGUAUUGGCUAGAAGAUUCAGGACGCUGGACUUACAAAAGUUGGAAGCAUGACAUUCAUACUCCGAACUUAGGGGCCUGUGUUCACACUGGAUGAUUUUAGCCGGUGAAAUCCCUUGUUUCGCAUUUUUCAUCAGGUCCCAAUGCCCAUGCAGCAUAACAUUUUAUUAUGAUACAUUGAGUUAUGUCAUAUUGUUACUUUAAGUUAUUUUUUAAGUAUUAGUUAUAGGCAAUUUAGUUGCAAAUUUAAGUAGUUAUUUUAAAUUAUUUUUUUAUAAUGGCAUAAGUGGGUAAUUUAGAUGAAGAUUAGGGGGUUACUUUAGCUUAUUUUAUAUAAUGGCAGAGGUGGGUAAUUUAGAUAUAGAUUUAGGGGUUACUUUAGGCUAUUUUCUUAAUGGAAUAGGUGGGUAAUUUUUUUAGAAAAUAUAAUAGAUCCAAUGGCUACGAUGAUUUGAGUCUAAUGAUUGAUGGCAAGAUGUUUUGCUUGUUUGUGGGAAUUUUAAAUAUUUCUCUUUUUUCUAGAGUGUCCACCUAGAAUGCUAGGUGGUUUCACUUGGAGGCUUCAAAAGGAGCUUCCAAAUUAGUAAUAGUAAGAUUUUCUCAAAAGAGACUUGAUUCUACCACUAUAACUUGAUUGGCCGCCCCGGCCUCUACCUUUGCCUCCAUUUGACUAUUUGAGUUGGCUGUCAACGAUUCACGGUGCUGGCAACAUUACGUUUGAUCCAAAUGCCACUACUCAUGUGCGCCAGCUGUAUUCUACCAAGUGGCAUGUGGGAAUGCCAUGAUGCAUGUGCAGUAACAGCGUGCACAUCUUGUAGGAUUCGCACCUCGUUUUCACUAUUGUAUCAUCUUAGCGAUUAGGAGCGAAGUGUGCUUUGGGGUUGCAAUUGGGAUAUAGACCUUAUUCUCGAAGAGAAUCUUAAAAGCUUACAUUCGCCCCCUCCGGUCGCCCGUGUUCCGAUCCUUCACCUAUAAAUUAGGAGUAGCAGGUAGUAAGUGGCAGGUUAGAUAAGUACUCGUUGAUGAAUGUUGACUUGGCGUGAUCGGCUCUGCUAUUUUCACGAAGAUGCCAAUAUUGAAAGCACAUCCACCAUUUCUGCGGAUGUGAGGGAUGAACUAAUUAAUUGUUUCUUGUCCAUUAUUGCACCGUACCUCCCAUUUUCCCGUUUUCCAAACAAUUAAAGGUACCCUUACGUUACGCUUGAUCCAAAUGCCACCACUCAUGUGCGCAAGUGGCAUGUGGUAAUGCCAUGAUGCAAGUGCAGUAACAGCGUGUACAUCUUGCAUGAUUCGCGCCUCGUUUUCACUAUUGUAAUCUAUAAAGAAACAAACAAAAAACAAAACGAUGGAUGGAUCAGCUCGGGAUCCAAUAAUCGAGAGGAAUUCAAGGAAAAAGAAAAAUUUGGGAUCACGUGUGCGGAUCCUAAUAACAAUAUAUAGUAGGACAUCUCCAUGCUCACCUAGUAGCCACUACUAGUGCGCCGGCCCAGUUGGCGCUAAGACAUCGUACGUGCAUUAAGGGGGUGUUUGGAUACUGGACGCUAAACUUUAGCAGUGUCACAUCGGAUGUUCGGAUGCUAAUUAGGAGGACUAAACAUGAGCUAAUUAUAAAACUAAUUGCAGAACCCCUGUGCUACUUCGCGAGAUGAAUCUAUUAAGGCUAAUUCAUCCAUCAUUAUCAAAUGGUUACUGUAGCACCACAUUAUCAAAUUAUGGACUAAUUAGGCUUAAUAGAUUCAUCUCGCGAAUUAGACUCCAUUUGUGCAAUUAGUUUUGUAAGUAGUCUAUGUUUAAUACUUCUAAUUAGCAUCCAAACAUCCGAUGUGACAGGUGCUAAACUUUAACAGUGGGGAUCCAAACGGGGCCUAAGUCUGUGGUGCCCAACGAUCUCUUUCUUCUAACUCAUGCUUGACUGUGACGGUGCUAUUAUAUAUUAUUGCAUGAUCAUCAGGAUAAGAUCGUAUAGUGACUGAGUGAGACAUGUAUGUACUAACUUGCAUUUAUCCAAGAAGAGGCACAUGAGUAGUGGUGCAUGCAUCCACACCUUGGCAUGCUGCAAACUUUUAUGGGUCCAUAUGUAUAGCCAAGUAAACUAUUUUAUCCUGCUGCAAGCUGCAGACAUAAGUUUAUUUAACCUUUGUUCACAAUCACUUCCACUGUCGUCGCAAUUGCCAAAGACAAGCUCACCAAUGCUAUUGCGGAGCAGGCCAAUUUCCUGUGGAACUUCGGCGACGACCUGAAGGACAUGAACUCGGUGCUGGAGUCCAUCUCAGCAGCGCUUCAGGACGCUGACACCGGUAGAAAAACGACAUUCCAUCCUCAACAAAAAUCCUAGCAUCCUCUACUCAGUCAGAUGUACUGUGUAGGUGAGAUGGUAAGGAAGCUAUGCGCGAGGCUUGAGGUCGUGAGUUCGAAUCCCAUGCACCACGCACGCACGCGCAUAUUUCGCGUGACUUGUGAUCAGCCAAGGAGAAAUGGGUGCAGCUGUUGCUUAAGUGCCUGAGGCACACUGCCAUAGACAUCUCGGAUUUGCUCGAAGACUACCAAGAAACUAGGAACCCUUAACAGCAAAGGUGAGUACUUAUGUAUGUCAGCAUCUAUGUUGUCCAUGCUUCCAAUGCAAUAACACGAAGGACUACUCUUCCUAGCGGACUCUUCACAAUCACUCGUAAAGGUAUGCGUUUCUCAAUGCAAUUUCAUAGAAGGCAAUCGAUCCAACCAAGCGACUAAAUCAUUCGUCCUUGCCAAUGAUGUGCAUCAGGUUUUCUAUAUGAAGGGCAUGUCUAGCAAACCCAAGAUUUCAGAACAAAAGAAAAAUCAUGUGAGCCAAAGCGCCACAUUGUUCUUCCAAGUAAAAAAAAUCAUGGGAGUCAAGAACAAAUCAGACCAAUCAGGGGAUUAUUGUCAGCUUGAUGGCAUGCCUCCAUUCGAUGUCGAAGUUGACCCAAGCAUCAUGUUAGCCAAAGUUCAAAUGUUCGUGCGUUGCUAUGGUAAAUAUCAAUUGUGUUUUUUAAACUCAUGGAUUUUUUUAUCUAAGUUUUUAUUACACUUAUUGGAUGUCUACACAUUUGCUAGAAAACCAAAAUAAUUUUGACUUAAUUAUUUCUUUCAACUCAAAUACUCAUUAAAUUUCUACGUUUUUAUUUAAGCAAGAGAGUUGCUACAAAAAAAUGGAUACGUAACCAUAUUGUAUCAUACAAAGCAACCACAUUUCACAUAUAGUCCGGCUUUGCAAACACCAUUGUUAUCUGAACAUAGCAUACAUGAGUUAGUAGACAUGGAUAUAUUUCUAAUUGCAAGUAGCAUAUAACCAGCCUGCACCGACGCAGCUCAAUAUGCGAUAAUUUUUAUCUUCCCAUGUAAUUUUUCUACUCUAGUACAUAUUGAACUCCACAUAAAUGUGAUCUUUCACGCCACAUACGGUUCCUAAAGUUUGGAAACUAAAUAGAUAGCCAGAAAUUUUUUAGAAAGUAUUUAUAUGGAUACAUGUAUGUUCUUCGCAAACUAACAGUAUUGUUUACCAAUAUCAAAAGGAAUAUGGCUAGGAUCAUUGCCGCAUAUGGCAGGUGAUGGUAAAGUUAUCAACUGCAAAGUAUUAGGCCUCGUUGAGCUCUACAAUUUUGAUAUAAAGUUUCUAUUCAUCCGAGAUCAAAUGAAAAAGUUGGUACUCAAAACAUACAUCCAUUAAUCUAGUCGUGCUAAUACUUACCACUAAAUGAAAAACUAGCAUGUGUUGUGUGUUUGUGACCCUAAACGAUCACAAAUGAAUAACUUAUGGGCGUUGCUAGCGCCCGAACGUAUGGUCCGGGGUGCUAGCAUCGGAUGCACGAGCAGCCGUCCGAUCAGGUCCGACACCACUUCAGGAUCUGGCUCAAAAAAAAGUCCCACCGAAACAUUGUUCCAUGUUGCAUAAAAUAUCCCACUAUCCAUUGCUGGGUCUAGAGCAAGCACCAGCUUCCAAUAUGCUGCUCACCCAAGCUAAAUAGGGGCAUUAAAAUUGCAGAAAUAUGUCGCAUAUCCUUCUCAAAUUAAACUAAAUCGCAACAUCCGAAAAUUUCUUACACAAAACCAUGAAACAUAUCGAUUAGAUAGGUGUAACAAGAUGAAAUAUGGUAUGCAACAUAUAGAUUCUGAAAAACAGAUGAAACAUUAUUUAAUGAUUGUUGAAACAGUCGAGAAAAAUAGAUGUAACAUCUAAAAUUAAGAAAAGAAGCUUCAUGCAAAUUGCAAAAAGCUGAAAUAAGUGGUUGAAACAUUUCAAAUCACCAAAUGCCACAUUUGAAAUGACUAGAUGAAACAUCACAAAAUCAAUUGCAACAGUUGAAGAUGAAAACAAUCAAAUGCCUUGCCUUUCUCUAGAUUUGACCCUCAAGCAUGAGUCCAGCCAUUUGCACAUUAGACCCUUGGGAGGAGCUCACCGGAGAACAACAAGACCUUGUUCUCCAACAAUUUUCCGAUCAAAUUGCAACAUAAAAAACAAAGCAUUGCAACAUCUGGCGGUAUCAUGAGCUACAACAUCAACCAGUUAGGAUCAGGAGAAAGAGGGCAAACACAAGCCUAGCAAUGAGUUAUAUCCGGUUUAAACGAGGAUAAAAAUGAGUGUAUUUUCCACUCAUCAUGUUGUCUUUUCGCAGCUGUACCGCCUUUAGUGUGUUGUAUUGUUCCCCUAACACCAAGUCUCCGAGGUCCGUGAAAAUAAGGAAAGUGAUAGCAGCCCAGAAAUCGACCAAGUUUCUUUCCCCCUUUGGCUUUCCUACUAGGAUUCGGAAUCCUCUUUCGCAUGACAAUCUUAAUUAUCUCCCGUAGUCCAAAACUCACAAAAACAUUAAACAUCCUCCGAGAAUAAAUUAAGUAAAAAACAUGCACACACCAAUAAUAAUAAUAAUCUUGUUUCAAAAAAAUUGCUAAGGCCAGAGAUAAUACAAAAACAUAUUAGACUGUUCAUGACACAUAUCACGGUGGACAGUGUUUGUGUCCUUAUUACAAGCAACGAGAGGAAUUAUAUAUGCUUGUCACCACACACACGCGCGCACAGAUGCACGACAUACAUAUAGUUGAGACCAACAGAUGGAUCGACUAGAGGUGGCCCCAUAUGGUGAACAAUUUAUUGGAGAUAAACAUUAACAUAACUUGGCCAUAGCUUGAAGCAUAGCAACAUAUGCGUAUGAAUGGCAUUGAUGCUAUCGUUUUAGGCUUGUCCAGAUAAUAAUAUCUGGUUUUAAGCAUAACAUGGUUUUUACUUAAUUUAUCUGUGCGUGCGAUAAUAAACCAGAUAAUAGCUUGAAACAUGUUGUGCAUUGGCACCACACGCACGAGAAUAAAUUAAGUAAAAAACAUGCACACAUAGAUAAUAAUAAUAAUCAAGUUUCAGUAAAAUUGCUAAGGCCAGAGACAAUACAUAAACAUAUUAGACUAUUCAUGACACAUAUCACGGUGGUCAGUGUCUGUGUCCUUGUUACAAGCAGCGAGAGAUGCUUGUCACCACACGCACGCGUGCACAGAUGCACAACAUACAUAUAGUUGAGGCUGCAAUUUAUAGGCAGCUGCGCUAUGUGAUGAUAUGGACAAGGUGCAAAUGGGUGGUCCUGAUAUGGAUAAGGUGCGAAUGGCUGUCUACUUGUAUUGUGUAGCUCCAAUGUACGUAUGUAUCUUAUACAUGUAUACAGUUGAUGGAUAAGGUAUACAGUCUUUGUUACCAAGUAAUUUUACUUUCGCACGUUUCAGCCGAGAGGCAGAAGAGAAUAUUUUACAGAGAGGGCAGAGAAGGAGGUUGGUAGGGUUCCCCGUGUCGCCAAGAUUUUUGCAUUUUACAUGUGUGUAUAGAUCACUUCGUCGUGCGGCGCCCUACUCCAGGUUGUACCCCAGCAGACCACGUUCUGUUUCUCUGCCUCCACAAGGACCACAAGACUUAGUAAAAAAAGCUAAACUUUGCAACACGAUGUAUACAGAAUUAGUAGCUAGAUCUAUAUAUGAAAUUCAUCCUAAAACUGAUAGGUGGAGAGAAGUAAAAAAUACCAAUUUGAUUUCCUAUCUGAUUAGAGGAAAUAUGGAUGGAUCGGUCGCAAUUAGCGAAGUGGCUCCAAUUGACAUAAAAGGUGUGCAUUGCAUUCAGCAAGAAAAAUUGAGUUUCUACUGAAUCUAUGAAAAAAAAUGAGCUUACGUUAUCAUAUAUAGGCAUAAAUUAAAAUGACAAGAAAUUCCAACCACGGUAUAUAAGACCAAUAAUUGGAAAGAUGGAUGAAAGGAAGAUAGGGUUUAAAUUAAAGUCUCCGCAUAGGCAGUUUGACUAUGAUCAAUUUUACCUGUAUUUCUCAAUAUGUAGAUAAUUCUAUGCCAACAAUUAAAAACUAAUACAUAAUUUGACACGGUGCACCUUGAGAACGUUUUGAAAAUGUACUCUCGUUACGCGUUCACCUCCUUAACAAUAACUGCGACUGUAAAAUAGGUACAUCGACGCUAGCUAAAUAAACAACUAUAAGAUUUAGCAAGAGAUCAUUUUAUACAAUCCUGUAACGAAAGAAUUUGACAAUUAUAUUGUCCAUAUAUUUUGACGAAAAACGUCUAAAUUAUAUAAGGUGGGCCCGAAACAGUUGGAUUAGCAUAUGGUUACCCGUUUGUUGUCUUCCGGCCCUAAAAAAAGGACCAUCUUACUGAAAAAGGUUCUAUUAGCACAAGUAGAGAACUGACUUUCGAUGCACCCCCUUUUAUCCCGGUUUAAAGUAGGCCCGGGAGAAAAGGGGGUGCGCCAUGGUAGGCAAAAAUAGAGGGGAGAUUUACUCCCGGUUGGUAUUUGCAACCGGGACUAAAGGCCACCCUUUUGUCCCGGUUGGAGCCUCCAACCGGGAAAAAAGGGUGGGUGGACCUUUUGUCCCGGUUGGUGUUACCAACCGGGACAAAUAGUUUACUCCCGGUUGGAGGUUCCAACCGGGAGUAAACUUUUAGUCAUUUUGUCGGCCCUUUUGUCCCGGUUGGAGCCUCAAACCGGGAGUAAACUUUCAAUCGGGACAAAAGGUGUUUCUUUUUGUGUCAGUUGGAGUUUCUAACUGGGAUAAAAACUCAUCCCCAUUAUAUACCAAGACAGAGGUCUUUCUUCCUCCUCCAGCCCGAGCCAGUCCACCACAAAGACAGAGAGCUCAGCUUCACCUACUCUCCGGUGGUGCCGAAGCAAGGGAGGUGCUGCCCGAAUUUUUUUACCCUCAUUUUCGUGGGAAUUUCACUCAGCCAACACAAGUGUUGUGAAGGUUUGCUACUUCAUCCUCGUGUUACGCUUUGAUUUAUGCUUUGGAGAUGGAAAGUUUAUUUGCUAGAAUGUGAUGAAGUAGAAAAUGGAGAGGUACUUUAAGCUAGAAUGUGAGGGAGAUUGAUGUGUCAUAUAUAGUAUGUAUUCUUGCAGUGAUUUAAGAAUGAUGCUACCUUGUCUAGACGGUUUAUCUUAUCAAAUUCAAUAUGGUUUUUCAAAUUCAUACUUAUUGAACUUGCAUACCGUGUUCAUGUCGGCGAGAAUGUUCUACGAGAAAGAGUGGAUACGGACAUCGUGACCGUAUCCCCUUUUUCGUAGAAUCGAACCUCUUUCAUGACGAAGUGCGAUGCCGCCCAGUUGAGAACAUGCUCGCCAGAUGAUCACGGUCUUCAAGUUCAACAAGUUCUGUAGGCAUACCGUGAUCAUCUCGGUAAGCAUGUUCUCCGUGGAGCAGCAACGGACGUCAAGGAGGAGGUUCGAUUUUACGAGAAAGAGAGGCAACAGACAUCGUGGAUGACUGUGUCCCCUUUCUCGUAAAAUCGAACCUCUUCCAUGACGAAGUAUGGUGCCGCUCAGUUGAGAACAUGCUCACCGAGAUGAUCACGAUCUUCAAGUUCAACAAGUUCACCGCUAAGGUAAGAAUUUUUGUACAUAGAUGGCUUCUGCUACUGGAGGAAGUGGCGAUGGUGGGGGCGAUCGUCGUUCCUCUUUCGGCAAGGGGAAAAUCAUAGUUGGCCCUCAGGAUAAGCCGAAGAAAAUGAGCGCGUUGGAGAAAGCAAUGCUUCGUUAUUUGCAGAAACGUCAUGAAGAAGCUGUUGCCGCGGGUCAGGAACCUCCUUUUGGUUGUCGUUAUGCUCCACCCUCAGUCCCGGGUGUUUCACGUCCACUUAGUACUACCAUUUCAGGUGGCACAAAUAAACCACAGGAUGAGGCUGGGUCAGCGGAACCUUCAUCUUCACCGCCCAAGGAUGCUUAAAGUCCUCCUAGAUAAUAACCAGUGGAUGGCUUGUUGUAUUGUAUCAUGUUGUUUGGAUAUUUAAUUUAAAUAUGUGUAUUUGUAUCUAUAUCUAAACUUUCAGCAUUAUUUGCACUACAACGUUUGACAUGCUUUCAAUCAUGAAUCCAUUUUCAAGUGUAAUCAAUUUUCACGCGUAAUCCAUUUUCAAGUGUAAUCAAUUUUCACGCGUAAUCCAUUUUCAAGUGUAAUCAAUUUUCAUGUGUAAUCCAUUUUCAAGUGUAAUCAAUUUUCACGCGUAAUCCAUUUUCAAGUGUAAUCCAUUUUCAUGCGUAAUACGAUGCAGAUGGACCGGCAAUGGAUGUAUAAUGCAGACAGACGGAGCAAGGUGUUUAUUGAUGGCUUGCAUUAUUUUCUCGAAGUGGCCAAAGCGAACAAGCCAGAGAAUGGGAUCGUAUGUUGUCCAUGCUUCCAAUGCAAUAACAAGAAGGACUAUUCAAAGGAUUCCUGGGGGACUAUUCACAGCCACUUGUUUAGAUACGGUUUCAUGCCUAACUAUUUGGUUUGGACCAAGCACGGUGAAAGAGGGGUUGUAAUGGAAGAUGGUGAGGAGGAGGAGGAGGAUGGCAACAUUCCGGACUAGGUUGCAGGCCAAGCUUUUGCAGAUACUACAAUGGGCGAGGCUGAUGAAGAUGAGUUUGCAGAAAAUGGCCCUACGAUGACCUUGGUCAGGUGCUACGAGAUGCACACAGAGAUUGCGAAACUGAGAAGGAAGCAGCAAAGUUGCAACGCAUGAUAGAUGAUCACCAAAAAUUGUUGUACCCAGAUUGCCAGCAGGGCCAUAAAAAACUAGGUACGACACUAUAAUUUGUGCAAUGGAAGGCAAAAAAUGCUGUGUCCGAUAAGGCAUUUCAGGGGAUGUUGAACAUUGUCUAGAAGAUCAGGCGAGAUGAUCCUGGUGAUGUCGAGGGGCAGUCUCCCAAGAAGAGAGUUCCCGCGAAGGUGAUGUGGUAUUUCCCUAUAAUACCACGCUUGAAGCGCUUGUUCAGGAACAAGGCAAAUGCUAAGUUGAUGCGAUGGCACAAAGAAGAACAUAUGGAAGAUGAGAUGCUGAGACACCCCGCAGAUGGGGCCCAGUGGAGAUCAAUUAAUAGAGCAUUCCCGAACUUUGAAAGUGAAGCAAGGAACAUAAGGUUUGGUUUAAGUAUUGAUGGAUUCAAUCCAUUCGGUGAGUUGAGUAGUGGCUAUAGUACUUGGCCUGUGACCCUAUGUAUGUUCAACCUUCCUCCUUGGCUGUGCAUGAAGCGGAAGUUCAUUAUGAUGCCGGCGCUUAUCCAAGGCCCAAAACAACCCGGCAAGGGAUAUGGAACAGAGGAGUUGAUCGAGUUUUGUGUUGAUUUUAUUGACUCAAUUGACUCGAUUGGGGUUCCAACUUCACGCCACGAGGGGAGGCUCCGGGGAAUGGGCACCCUUGGAAGGAAAUCAAGUUUGAGCAAUGAUACUGAUUUGUUCGACAAGGCACACUACACUGUUCUGCAAUAGUCAUCCUUUGUGUCUCCCUAUAUCGAGCAGCACAGGCAGAUGGUAGUUUUCCAAAAACCUGACGAAAUCCGAUGCUUGGCUUACACAUCAUCACAUGGAAACUUUUUCCUCCUGGUUGCGCCAACAACUCAUGGGUAACUCUGAGAUUUACCUACAGCUCGCUUGGUUAGCCAGGGGACCUGCUAGCACAAUCGUGAAAUUUCAAGACUAUGAGAUAAAUGGUUAUACAUUUUACACGAGAGCCUAGGACCAGAAAAGCACGAACCAGAAUAGUGGUGUCCGCAUAGAUGCCAUAGAUAGAAAUAAUAACAAGGAGUCGUAUUAUGGUUUCAUACAGGAGAUAUGGGAACUCGAAUACGGACCGCUGUACAUCCCUGUAUUUCUUUGCAAUUGGGUGAAGCUAACUGCCGUAACCAAAGAUCAGUACGGAAUGACAAUAGUAGAUCUGAGCAAGACUGGAUACAGUGAUGACCCAUUCGUACUUGCGAAUGAUGUGCAUCAGGUUUUCUAUGUGAAGGACAUGUCUAGCAAACCCAAGAGAAAUCCAGAAGAGACAUGGGAGCCAAAGUGCCACAUAGUUCUUCCAGGUAAAAGAAAAUCAUUGGAGUCGAGGAUAAAAUAGACGAAUCAGAUGAUUAUGAUCAGUUUGAUGGCAUGCCUCCAUUCGCAGUUGAAGUUGACCCAAGCAUCCUGGUAUCCAAAGAAGAGGCUCCAUACUUACGCCGCGAUCAUGAUCAAGGAACUUUCGUGAAGAAGAAAUUUUACAACGUUGUAUUGUAAUGCGCUAAAUUUACUUGACCUUUGUGAAGUACUUGAUACAAUUUUUAAUUUAACCUAUGUAUGAUUUCAUGUGUUCUUAAAUUUGUUGAGGUGAAGAUUUAUUAGAUAAACAUGAACAAUGUUAACCACACACAUACAUGGAUUAUUUUUGCGCGUUGAAAUUAUUUAAUUGAAUAAUUUCUCGAUCAUUGCGAUGCAGUAAAAUAAUUAUUUUAGAGGCUAAACGAACUGGUAUAGAAUUAAUGACUAAUUCACACUUAUUGUCAAUAUACUUGCUAAUUAAAUAUAUUUUUGCAUAUUCAAAAUAUGUGAAUUUUUUUGUUUUUGCAUCCUGAAAUGCAGUGAAAACAUACAUAAAAUCCUUUUCCAAAAAAUAGGCGGGAGAUGAAAGUGUGGGAAAAGGCACUUUUGUCCCGGGUGCCAAUAGAAACCGGGACAAAAGGACCUUUUAUCCCUGUUGCCAAAAGCAACCGGGAUCAAAGGCCGUCCCUUUUGUCUCGGGUGCCAACGCCAACCGGGACAAAAGGCCCCCUUUUUAUCCCGGUUGACAACUACAACCGGGAUAAAAGGGUAGUUUUCGUUUCCCGCUGGGGACGUACCCUUUUAUCCAGGUUACAGUUAGCAACCGGGAUAAAAGGGGGGGCCCUUUUGUCCCGGUUGGUGUUGGCACCCGGGAUAAAAGGGCCUUUAGUCCCGGGUUCAAUUACGAACCGCGAUAAAAGGGGGGAGGGAUAAAAGGCACUGUAGCCUCUUCUACCACCACCCCACGCUAGUUACGACACUUAGCCAAAUUUUCACCGCUGCCAAGAUCCCGCGCCCUUCCGCCAGCUCCGUCACCGCCCAUCCGCCUCCCUCGCCGGCCGCCGUCGUCCUCGUCGUCCAUCGCCCCGGCCAUCAUCGUCCCGCCGCCCGACCGCCUCGCCCGCGCCCAGACCACCUCCUCCUCCAUCGCCCCGGCCCGCCUCCGAUCCUCCUCCGUCGUGCCCCCUCGACCUCGUCGCAGCCGGCCGCCUCCAUCGCGGGGCCUCGUCCCCGCCUCAGUCAACGCCACAUUCUCUGUCGCCGCCUCAUCACCGCCUCUGUCGCGCGCGCCGCCUCCGUCCCUCGUCGCCGUCCGCCUCCGCCCGUUGUUGCUGUGGCCACCUCGCUCCGUCCCCGCCUCCGCCGUCCCACCGCCCCGGCCGCCGCCGUCCCGCCGUCCCGGCCAUCUCGUCGCCCAGCUAGGCACCGCGUGAGGUCCGCCGGCACUGGCACCGGGAAUGAACAGCUCUUGCUGACGCAAACCCACCGGCUUGCGUAAGCAAGGACCUUUUUUAUUUUUUAGUUAGAAAAUGAAUAGAUAUUAGUAGAUUAGUUAGAAAAUCAAUAGAUAUUUGUAGAUUAGUUAGAAAAUCAAUAGAAAAUCAGUUGAUAAAUUUUGUAGAAAUUCAUUCAAAUUAGUAGGAAUUAGUUGUAAUUUGCUAGAAAUUCCAAUAAAUAUGUUGAAAUUAGUAGAAAUUUGGUAGAAAUUCUUACAAAGUACUACUAAUUUGUUGAAAUUUGUAUAAACAUUCCGAACUUUGUGGGAUUCAUGUUAUUGUAAAAUUAUUAGGCAUUAGUAGAAAUUUUGUAGAAAUUCCAAUAAAUAUGUAGAAAUUAGUAGAAAUUUUGUAGAAAUUCAUACAAAGUACUACUAAUUUGUUGAAAUUUGUAUAAACAUCUUGGAUCAGCGCUUGGUUUGUUGAAAUUUGUAUAAACAUCUCGGAUCAGCGCUUGGGUUGUGUAAGUGUCCGUUUAUCUACAUGUAAAUUUUGCCUCAUAUCAUUAUUUUUUUUGCGUGCGUCACCGUACUAACUUCGUCUUCCAUUUUAUGUAGCAUGCUAAUUCAGACGUGCCGACGAGAGGCGUACCUACAUAUUGGCUUCAUGGGUCCAUCCGUAGUUAACCAAAAACAGAUACAAUUAUCGCCGGAAAAAACCUUGGUGGAAGUAUACAAUUUCCUAGACAAACAAAAAUUCAAGGAUUUCAUACUACUUCCAUACAACUUCAGGUAAGUGUGUGUAUACCGUCUACUUUCGUUGUCUUUUUCCUUACCUGAUUAAUUAGUUAGCUCUAAUAUGCAUGAACAUUUUACGUACGCAGCUUCCACUGGAUCCUUAUUAUAAUUGAGCUUGAAAGAAGCCACGUCACUGUCUUCGAUUCGUUGAGGAAAGAUCCGGUGGAGUACCAAGACAUGCAAGACAUGCUAGGCUUGUAAUAAUUUUGGACCUUUAUCUCUAUGCAAAAGUUUGUUUCCUAAAUUUUAUCCCUGUUACACUAUAUCAUUCAUUAUUCUAAUCCGCAGCGCAUGGAAACAAUUCAUAAGGACACACAAAGGUCCAUUCAAAGAAAAACUUACAUGGAACACAGACUUCCUGGUACGUAUGAAGUCUGCACAUUUAGUACAUUGUAUAACACGAAUAUUUCAUAACUUAUUUUUUUCGACACUGAAGUGCUUAAGACAGGAACUCGGGAAUAAUCUAUGUGGCUACUACAUCUGUGAGCACAUGCACAUUUUUAUGGGACCCAAGGGACUAAAGAUGACGCCGCACAACUUUAAAGUACGUAAAAUAAAACUAUUACUAGUUAAUUAUUUUCUAGCUCCUUAUAUUUAAUUGUUCGUGUAACAUUCACAAAUUUCCAAAUUAUAGAUGUUAAAUAUUCAACAAGGACUCUUGAAGAAAAAAAAGGGUAGCGGCAAUAUGUGAAGGUCUCGUUGGAUUCCUAAUGGACGAGGUGGUAAAUCCACAGGGAGAAUUUUAUUACGAUGGACGACAAUUAGACGCUCCGAGCAACACCUCGACGGGAAGAUUGUAGAUAUAUAGUUUGAUUUGUAUACAUAACACGCGCUAAGAUCGAUUUGUAUAUAUAGGUGAUUUCAUUAUACUAGUUGAAUUGUGUAUAUGAAUUGCGUAUAUAUAGUAAUUGUAUAAUUACAAAUUUCAUUCGUUUAAAUACUAGUUGAUUUCAUUAUAAAAAAAGUCUCAACUACUAAAGGUUAACAAAAGGGCCGCGGUACUACGUACGUGAUGCAUGAAAAUUUAAGAUGCCAUGCAGGAAAAUUUAAAUAGGACUUUAGUCCCGGUUGGGAAACCCAACCGGGACUAAAGGGGCACCCUUUACUCCCGGUUGCUUUUCCCAACCGGGAGUAAAGGGCCUGUCCCGCGCCAACCGGGACUAAAGGGUGACCUUUACUCCCGGUUGAAGGACCCGGGACUAAAGACCCCCCCUUUUGUCCCGGUUGGUUUAUCCCGGAUGGAUUUUCGAGAGAUAUGCACCCUACCAACCGGGACUAAAGGCGAGUUCUCUACUAGUGUAGGCCAUGCAGCCGGCUCUGUGGUACCAAAAAGAAAUUUUUGACAUGGUUUACAUCGAGAACGUUUUGAAACUAGACUUUGGUACGCAGUUCACCUUCUUAACAAUAACGGCGUACAUAGACGCUAUCUAAAUUGACCACUUUAAGAUUUAGCGAGAGAUCUAUUUUUUUAAUCCCGUAGCGAGAUCUAUUUUUAUAAUCGCGUAGCGACUGUACGAAGGACUGAAAAAUAAGUUUGAUUACCGUAUAUAGUUAGCCAACUCGUUAAUGGAAUAAACGAUAGAGUUCUGCGAGGCAGACUAGCCUUUCACACGCACCAACUGAACCAGCUGGCAUGAUGUAUUUGAUCUUACUCCCUUGGUCCCAUGGAAAGGUAGAAAUAACCAUAUAUAGGCAUGUAAUUAUCAGUUAUACUUAUGGGAUACUUAGAUGACUUGAUGUAUGAAUCAAGAAAAUGCAUCGAUCGAGAACUUACGGGGAUCAUCUCAAUAAUUUAGAGACCAUGCGCAUAUAUAUUGUGGAAGGUGUGCGUGAGGGUCGUUAUCUAUAUCCUGUGUUAGAAAAAGAUUGCAUAUAUAGUUAAUGUUUGUCUUUCUUCGGAUGGCACGUUAGCUGACCAUUGACAACAUGUGAUGAUUUUACUAACAUCAAAAUUAGGCAUGCCCCAUUUUUUAAUUGGUGCAUGGAGUGGGAGGUUUUGGUGGGUGAGCAUUGGUGUGCAACUCGUGUGCGUGAGCAUGUGUGCGUAAGAUAAUGUGUUUUGUUAGAAAAAGAAGAUAAUGCCUCUAAACAAUCCAGAAUAGAAGGCGGGCCCUGACGACAAGAUAAUACCUUACGCGGCGAUGUCUCAACGUGUCACCUGGGGCGGCUUUUGCAGUUUCCCCGUACACACACUAAGAGCCUCCGACCCUUUUUUGUCAAACCUUCUCUUGUAGUCAUGCAUAUAUCCAUGAUGAUUUGAGUCUACUGAUUGACAGUUAGAUAUUUUGCUUGUUUGUGAGAAUUUUUAGUUUCUAUUUUUUUAGAGUGUCCACCUAGGAUCCUAGGUGGCUUCACCUGAAAGCUUCAAAAGAAGCGUCCAAAUUAGUAAUCAUAAGAUUUUCUCAAAAGAGACUUAAUUCUACCACUAUACCUUGAUUGGCGGCCCGAGCCUCUACCUUUGUCUCCACUUGACUAUUUGAGUUGGCUCAGAACGGUUCACCGCGCUAGCAACGUUACGUUUGAUCCCAAUGCCACCACUCAUGUGCGCCACCUGUAUUCUACCAAGUGGCAUGUGGUAAUGCCAUGUUUGUUUUAAUUUCGUCCAUCAGCAUUCACAAUGAUAUCAUCACCAUUAUGUAAUUAUCCCACUUUUAAUUUUCUUGCAACUCUGUGAAGUUAACAGUCUCUGAUCAAGUUUCCGAGGAUUGCUAUAUCUUUGUUUAUUAUCUACGGAAGUUGACAGCACAUCCACCAUAAUUCAUGGCCCACCAGACUCUAAGUCCACUGCGAGUAUAUAUUAAUUUGUUUUAAUCCGACUAUACUAGAUGUGUACCAAUCAUUCGAUAUGAGGGACGAACUAAUUGUUUCUUGUCGACUAUUGCACCGUACCUCUCGUUUUCCAAACAAUUAAAAGGUACCCUUCCGUGAUGGUUGUACCGAUACCGACUAUCUAUAUUAUUGCUUUCUUGAGCAUACCAAACGAGUUAAUUGGUAUGAUGAUGUUAUAGCUCAUUUAUAUAUGCUUAAAUACAUACACCGGUAGAAAACUCGCCUUUAGUCUCGGUUGGUACGUGUUAGACACCUAAUCCUUGCAUUGAUGGCUAAUCCUUCCAGCUUUUGUCUUCACGCACGCAUGCAUUGAUAGCCUCCUGCGGAUGGCCUUUCAGCUACUGCGCCGUUCAACUUCUGUGGCCUGUCCGGCUUCUUCCUUUCCCCAUAUAAUGUAAUACGUUCAACUCAAAUGAAUGAAAUCAAAUUAUGCGUGUAUUAUUCUCGCUUUCAGUAGGGGCCAAAUCUCCCGAAAAUCCAUCCGGGAUAAAGAUGAGAAAUUAAUCCAUGCGUGGCUUCAUGCAAAUUUGUUCAGAUCAGGUUUGAACAGCAUGUAAUCUUUUUCAGGCAUCUAUAUGGAGCGUGGGGGUGUUAUGUUAUCUUCUACUACACAUAUAACAUUAAAUUCAUUCAGUUUGGCUGAGAGCCCAAAAUGCAACGAAUAUGCCAUCCAACGUGAAAAAAAGAUGUGGAACAGUAUACUCUAUCUUCGAAAUUAAUUAACGAGAUUCAGCUUCAAAAGAGAUAAGAGCAGACAAGAGGCACAUGGGUGCAUGCAUCCACACCUUGGGAUGCUGCAAAAUUUGGGAUCACGUGUGCGGAUCCCUAAUUAGGAAAAAAGAAUAAUUGUGCUAGCAAAAUGUGGAACACGACUGCCGGCCCAGUUGGCGCUAAGACAUCGUACGUGCAUUAAGUCUGAGGUGCCCAACGAUCUCUUUCUUUAACUCAUGCUUGACUGUGACGGUGCUAUUAUAUAAUAUUGCAUGAUCAUCAUGAUAAGAUCGUAUAGUGACUGAGUGAGACAUGUACUAUAACUUACAUUUAAGCCUCGAACUGUGUGUCGUUACGUGAGCUGCCUCCUCUCCUCGCCUCUGAAUUAUUGAACCGUUUCCAACAGUGUUGGUCUCGACGAAAUUUGACACCAACCAGAUUUAUGAAGAAAAGAGAAUAAUACUUGGAAUUGGGAAAAGUUGAUCUCUCUUUACAAUGGGUAGGUGCUCCCCUUUUAUAGUGACCCAUGAGCCACUUUACAUUCCGAAAAUAUCCUUUCUCAACCACUACAUUCCUAGGAUAUGCCGUACAAAUUGAACUCUUCCACGUGGUCACAUUUCUCACGCCUCCUGUUUUCCAACCUCGAGACUUCAUCUUCACGCCAAGUUGAUCAUCUAGCCUCGAGGCUCCAUCCACGAUCCGGAAUGAAGGUCCAGCCUCGAGGCUCCUGCUUGUUAGAAGAACCGUCGUAUGAGACGAGGAUUGUAUCUUAGAGAUAAGAGUUGUUAUGGUUUGAGUUGGCCGGCUAGUAGAUAGAGAUAGAAUCUUGAUGUAUUUGAAUGCUGGCUAAACUUUAUCUAUAACAACAUGCAUUGUAAUCUGUUGGGACUUUCCCCCUAUAUAAACAUGCAACCACGGCGAGCCAAGAUAGGGCAACCGUGUUCAACUCUUUUGACAUGGUAAUCAGAGCCCUUCUUCCAUAAAAUACAUCUACAUCUACACCACCUGGCGCACGCCACCUUGUUGCCUGGCACACGUCAUCACCUUGCAUGCAACAGUCAUGGUGUCAUCAUCGUCAUCGUCAGCCACUGCACCCACGGCGGCGCAGCUUGGAGCUCCUGUAGCUGAAAAGCUUACAGGGGAGAAUUAUGUCUUAUGGAGGGCUCAAUUCUUGCCUGCUGUGCGGGGCGCGCAGCUCAUGGGAGUCCUCAACGGAUCUGUCAAGGAGCCCGGCCAAGACCAUGGAACUGGUGAAGGCUGACGGCAAGAAAGGGUAGCAUGACUUCAUCAACUUACUACACCAAGAUGGUGGCUAUCAAAGAUGAGUUGGCGGCAGUAGAAGUCAUUAUUGACGAUGGUGAGAUGGCAUCUUACAUACUUAAUGGUCUUGAUUUCGAAUAUAAUCCGUUUGUGUCCUCGAUGCUUGGCUGUGCUGAUUCCCUCUCUCUUUCCGAUCUAUACUCUCAUCUGUUGUUUUAUGAGAUGCGCCUGGAAGCAUAUAAUGAAGCGGGACAAUAUACAUCUUGGGCAAACUCAUCUUCUCGUGGAGGAUUUCGGGGACACGGCAAUGGCGGUCGUGGCAAUGGAGGGCGCAAUUGAGGGCGCACCAACGGUGGCCGUGGCCAGAACCGUGGUGGCCAGAACAACAGCAACAGUAGCAGUCAGCCCAAGAAAGUAAUCUGUCAAAUCUGCAAGAAUGUAUGUCCAUGAAGCACCAAGAUUCUGGUAUAGAUACGACGAAGAUGAGCAAGAAAAGGUUGCCGGCACAACAGCUACAAGCUAUGGUUAUGAUACUAACUGGUAUACAGACAGUGGCGCAACCGACCACAUUACUGGCGAGCUUGACAAGUUGACCGUCAAGGACAAGUAUAAUGGUCGAGAUCAAGUACAGGCUGCUAACGGUCCAGGUAUGAAAAUUAGUAAUAUUGAUCAUUCAACUUUACAUAUGCUGGGUAGAAAAUUGCAUCUAAACAAUAUCCUUCAUGUUCCUAUUGCUCACAAAAAUCUUGUUUCCAUCCAUAAAUUAGCUUCCGAUAACAAUGCCUUCCAUGAAUUUCAUCCAAAAUUCUUUUUCAUUAAGGCCCUAUUUGGCAUGGCUCCAACUCUAGGUGGAGCUACUCUACUCCAAAAAUCCAGGUGGAGCCAGCUUUGGGUGGAGUUGGAACUGUCUAGAUGGGGUGUUUGGCUAGAAGAGUGCAUCAGCUCCAAAAAAGACCGAUCUCAGUGUGGAUUGCCAUUGUUGCCCCAAAUUCAAGCCCCACUUUUCAUCCUCUAUAUCCCCAUCUUCUUCUUCCUCAGAAGGCGUGGAUGCAUGGAGAGAAAUCAAAUCGACUCGGCAUUAGAGCGGCGAGAUUUGGACGCGAUCGAUCAAAAUCAAUCGAUUAAAAAAAAAUCUCUCACCGCCACCAGGCUUGGGCGGCGCUGCGAAUGAUAGAGUGGCCGAGGCCACGGGCGCUGGGGAGUACGCGGCAGGCGCCUGCACCAUCGGCAGCAGCGUCAUGUUGGACACCUUGGCCGGCGCGUCCGGGUCCUCCGCGUCAGCAUCGUCAUUCUUGCCGGCUGCCGUCACCGCAUGCCGAUGCCCCAGCCUCUCAGCACCGACACGUCGUCGACUCCACUUCCUGGAAUGCCAUGCCCCCGGCCACGAUCGCCGCGCGCCAAAGUGAUCGUGGCUUUUCUAACAACCAUAUCGUAAUCAUAGGAUCUUCUCAGCGCAAAACUGUGCAGCUCCUUGCCUUUCUUUAGCAGAGCAAGUCCUGCACAAGCCCGCAGCAAGACCAACAUGCACUACUAGAGAAUUGACUUUCAAUCCCCCCCUUUUAGUCUCAAUUUAAUGUAGGCCCGAGAGAAAAGGGGGUGCGCUACGGUAGGCUGGAAUGGGGCGCACCUUUAGUCCCGGUUCAUGUUUAAAACCGGUACUAAAGCCCCCCUUUUGUCCUGAUUUGAGCGGCUAGAUUUUUGCCACCGACAGUGCCCCCCCUUUUGUCCCGGUUGGAGCCACCAACUGGGACAAAAACCUCGCCCUUUUUUUCUGGUUGGCAUUACCAACCGGGAUAAAAAGUUUACUCCUGGUUGGUAACUCAAACCGGGACAAAAGGUUGGCAUUUUCAUCCCGGUUGGAGCCACCAACCGGGAGUAAACACGAACCGGGACAAAAGAGCCAUACUUUUGUCCCGGUUUGGUUUACCAACCGGGAGAAAAUCUUUUCCCCCUUAAAGCUGCUUUCUUCCUCCUCCACUCGUCCAGCCCGAGCCACUCCACUCCACAAAGAUAGAGAAGCUCCAUCCUCUCCAUGGCGCCGAAGCAAGCCUAGGGGAGGUGCUGCCGAAUUUUUUUUCCUCAUUUUGUUGGGGACUUCACUCAUCCAAAGUGUUGUGAAGGUUAGCUACUUCAUUCUCUAUUCAUUUAUUAUUGUUAUGCUUUGUUUUAUACUUUAGAGUGGGAGAAGAAUGAGUUUGCUUGUUAGAAAGAGGGAGAAUGGAGAGGAUUUGUAUUUAUACAUGUUUUUGAGAUACAAUGUGAUGGAUAAUUUGAAUGUGAGGGAGAAUGGAGAGUAAAUGUGAGGUAGAAUGGAGAGGAUUUCAAUUUUAAGUAUUCGGAAAAACUAGAGUAAAUGUGUUUUUAAUCUUUAUACAUUAGCCAUAAAAUUAAGGUAAAUAAAUUGUAGGUGUAAUUUCAUAGUUUAGUACUUUUUAGAUAGAGUUAUGUAAUUAGCCAUUUUUAGAAUAUGUAAAUUAUGUGGGAAAUAUUGAAUUUUUUUAAUAGUUUAGUUAUUUGCAAAUAUGAGCUAAAUAAUUUGUGGUACAUAGAGAUGGCUUCUGCUGCUGGAGGUAGUGGCGAUGGUGGGGGAGAUCUUCAUUCCUCUUGCGGCAAGGGGAAAACUGUAGUUGGCCCUCACGAUAAGCCGAAGAAAAUGAGCGCGUGGGAGAAAGCAGUGCUUCGUUAUUUGCGAAGAUGUCAUGAAGAUGCUAUUGCGGCGGGUCAGGAACCUCCUUUUGGUGGUCGUUAUGCUCCACCGCCAUUCCCGGGUGUUUUAGGUCCACUUAUUAGUACUACUGUUGCAGGAGGUAUAGAUAAACCAUAUGAUAAGGCUGCGUCAGCGAAACCUUCAUCUUCGCCGCCCAAGGAUGCUUGAAAUCCUUCUAGAUAGUACUAAGUGGAUGGUUUGUCGUAGUGUAUCAUGUUGUUGUUGCUCUCAAAUUUAAAUUUGUGUAUUUCUACGUAAACUUUCAGCAACAUUUGAGUUUGUUGUAGUGUAUCAUGUUGUUUGGGUCUGAAAUUUUAAUGUGUAUUUCUAUCUAAAAUUUCAGCAAUGUGAUGGAUAGUUUGAUUGUAAUCCAUUUUAUUGACGGCUUGCGUAAUACGAUGCAGAUGGACCGGCAAUGGAUGUAUAAUGCAGACAGACGAACCAAGGUGUUUAUUGAUGGCUUGCAUAAUUUUCUCGAAGUGGCCAAAGCGAACAAGCUAGAGAACGGGUUCAUAUGUUGUCCAUGCACCCAAUGCGGUAACAACAAGGACUAUUCAAAGGCUGUCUAGGGGACUAUUCCCAGCCACUUGUUUAGAUACGGUUUCACACCUAACUAUUUGGUUUGGACCAAGCACGGUGAAAGAGGGGUUGUAAUGGAAGACGACGAAGAGGAGGAGGAUGAUGACAACAUUCCGGACUGGGGUGCAGGUCAAGCUUUUGCAGAUACUACAAUGGGCGAGGCUGAUGAAGAUGAGUUUGCAAAAGAUGGCCCUACUGAUGACCUCGGUCAGGUGCUAAGGGAUGCACCCAGAGAUUGCGAAACUGACAAGAAAGAAGCAAAGUUGCAGCGCGUGAUAGAUGAUCACCUAAAAUUGUUGUACGCAGAUUGCCAACAGGACCAUAAAAAACUGGGUACCACACUAGAAUUUAUGCAAUGGAAGGCUAAAAAUGGUGUGUCCCAUAAAGCAUUUUAGGGGAUGUUGGAAAUUGUCAAGAAGAUUUUUCCCGAGAAUAAUGAAUUGCCAUCCACAACAUAUGAAGCUAAACGGAUUGUUUUCCCUCUUUGAUUGGAGGUUCAGAAGAUACAUGCAUGCCCUAAUGAUUGUAUCCUCUAUCGCAGUGCUGAAUAUGAGGAUCUGGAUGCUUGCCCUGUGUGCGAAGCACUGUGGUAUAAGAUCAGGCGAGAUGAUCCUGGUAAUGUCGAGGGGCAACAUCCCAGGAAGAGAGUUGCCACGAAAGUGCUAUGGUAUUUCCCAGGAAGAGAGUUCCCACAUUUUGUACAAUAUUCUAUAUCACGAAUAUUUCAUAACUUGUUUGUUUCCCCACUGAAGUGCUUAAGACAGGAACACGGGAACGAUCUAUGUGGCUACUAUGUCUGUGAAAACAUGGAAAGUUUUGUAGACUUGGUCACAUACACUUGGUCCCACCCGUGAUACGAGCAGCCCAACAGCACAGUGUUCCAUGUCAGCAAGCUGGGCUCUAGCCCCGAUCUUGCCAUGCGCUUCGCGAGCUCCAGUGCGUUGUCGACAAGCCUGAGCCGCGUGCAGCACAUGAGCACCGCGUUCCACAUGACCGCCGUGGCCUCCGUCGUCUCAGCACCCAUGUGGCCACAGCGACGUCCGCGUUCUCGACGUACAUGGUGGCGAGGAACCCAGGAACGAGCGGGUGCGCGUCUACGUGGUGGGGAGCGUGGCAGUGGCAGCUUUGCUCGAUCUGGCAGCCGGAGAGUGGGACGAGACCACCACGGGGGAGACGGUCGGUGGUGGUGGCGGUGGCAAUGGGAGGAAGGCCUUGGAGAUCAAGGGAUCCAAGGUCCCCUUCCAAGAGAGAAGGGAGAUCGGGGGAGGAGACCGAUGGAGGGGAGGCGGGAGGGAGGAUGGUCGGCAGCGGGGGUAAGGAGAAAGAACAGGCGCGCGGGAGGGAGUCACGGUGCCGGAGACUCGGGAGAAAAGAAGCGAAUCAUUUUUGUGUAACUAGUGGUAUUGGUAGGUAAUUACCCACCAACUCCACGAGGAGGUUCAUAUUGGGUAGUUUUGGAGUUGCAAAAGAGGUGCUCCAAAACUCCACCCCCAUUUGCACUACAGCUCCAUGGAGUUUUGGAGUUGGGGUGUGUUGGCUGUAAAAUUGGCUAGAGUUGCUGGAGGUCAGCUCCAGAGCCAUGCCAAACACGCCCUAAGGAUCAGGAAACGAGGAAAAUCCUUCAUCAAGGUAGAUGCAAAGCAGGCCUUUAUCCAUUAGAAUCCAUCUUGUCAGAAGAAGGCGAUGACAAGAGAGUUUAUGGUGCCAUCAAACCAUCUGCUUCUAGAUGGCAUAGCCGCUUAGGCCAUCCAGCUUAUCCUAUUAUUCAGCGUGUGCUUAAUCAUAAUAAUCUUCCUUGUGGUAGUACUAAUUUUGAGUCAGUUUGUGAUUCAUGUCAAAUGGCUAAAAGCCAUCAACUUCCAUAUUCUAGUUCAAUAAAUUCGUCAAAAGCUUCGCUUGAUCUUAUUCAUUCUGAUGUUUGGGGGCUUACACCUAAUUCUGUUGGUCGAUAUUCCUACUAUGUGAGCUUUAUUGAUGAUUAUAGUAGGUUCACCUAGAUUUAUCUCCCGAAAAAGAAAUUUGAUGUCUUUCAAGUGUUCAAAGAAUUUCAGAAUCUAGUGGAGCGAAAACACAAUAAGAAAACUGUAUCCAUGCAAACCAACUGGGGAGGCGAAUAUGAGAAGUUGAAUUCCUUCUUUCAGCAAAUUGGUAUAGCACAUCGCGUCUUAUGUCCUCAUGCCCACCAGCAAAAUGGCCUCGUCGAGAGAAAGCAUCGUCAUACUGUUGAAGUUGGUCUCGCUCUUCUCGCAAAUGCUUCAAUGCCUUUAAAAUUUUGGGAUCAAGCUUUUUUGACCGCCACUUAUCUCAUUAAUAUGCUUCCCAGUAAAAUUCUUAAUUUCGAUACUCCUAUAGAACACUUGCUCCAAGAAAAGCCUGAUUACAGCUCUCGUCGCAUUUUUGGGUGCGCUUGUUGGCCUAAUUUGCAACCCUAUAAUACUCGCAAGCUAGCUUUUCGUUCUGUUAAAUGCACCUUUCCUAGUUACAGUUUCAUGCAUAAAGGCUUCAAGUGCUUAGAUCCCUCUACCGGCAGAAUUUAUAUCUCCCGAGAUGUUGUUUUCGAUGAAUCGAUCUUUCCGUUUGCUCACUUACAUCCCAAUGCAGGCGCCCUUCUCAGUAAAGAGAUUCUUCUUUUACCUGACCAUCUUCGUAAUCCGGGGGAUGUAAGUUGCAUAGACAAUAUUACUAUACUACUGACCGUUUGCAUGAUAGUAAUGCGCAAGAUGUUUUUCAGGGGAAACUGUCACCGGGCUGGGCGCACGGUGACGCAGAAAAUCACGGCGGCACAUUCCAGGAGGAUUUGAUGCCAGGUGCCGACGGUCCAGGCGUUGACUCCCAGGGAGAUUCGGCGGCAGCAUCCGUUUUGCUCCCCUCCUUCCCAGCAGUGCCCAUGUCGUCGAAUACAUCUCCGACGCGUGGCUCCACGACAUGCCCAGCGCCCGCACCCGGCGCUCCUCCGUCGCCGCAUGGCCCCGCACUUGGCCAAUCGCCUGCGCCAGCCGCCGGGAGUCCGACGCGUGGGGGGGGACCCAUCUAUCACGCCAGACAGUCUCCCACCCGUGCCUGCUGCCCCGAGUCGUGCUAGCGCUGGAUCCUCUUCGGGAAGCGGAUCCGGUGUGGAAUCUAUGCCUGGUCAGGCCAGUUCUUUGGCGCUGGCUGCCCCUGCGCCGUCUAUUUCAGUGCCAAGACAACGGACACGGCUUCAAAGUGGGAUUACGAAACUUACAUAGUUCCAGGACAUGAUCAGGUAUGGGUUGUUCUUAGCUUCUGCGGAACCACAGGAUUUUCAUGAAACUCUAAAUGAUUAUAGAUGGAAAAAAGGCUAUGCAAGAUGAAUUUGAUGCUCUCAUUAGAAAUCAAACUUGGCACUUAGUUCCUGAAAUAAAGGGUAACAAUAUUAUUGAUUGCAAGUGGGUAUUCAAAAUCAAGAAAAAAUCAGAUGGUACCAUAGAUAGAUAUAAAGCAAGGCUAGUUGUAAAGGGUUUUCAGCAACGGUAUGGCAUUGAUUAUGAGGAUACUUUCAGUCCAGUGGUUAAGAUUGCAACUGUCAGGCUUGUCCUCUCAAUUGCUAUUUCGAAAGGGUGGUGUCCAAGAUAGUUAGAUGUAUAGAAUGUGUUUCUUCAUGGUGUUCUGGAAAAAGAAGUUUAUAUGAGGCAACCUGCAGGAUUUGAAAAAGGAGCUUUGCAUCUUGUGUGGAAAUUGGACAAGGCUAUCUACGGCUUGAAACAAGCCCCGCGAGCUUGGUAUGCUAAGUUAUGUUCCAAACUUAUUGCACUUGGAUUUGUUGCAUCUAUAUCAGACACUUCGUUAUUCAUCUAUCAAAGAUUGGGUGUCAUAAUUUAUAUGUUGAUUUAUGUUGAUGAUACAAUUGUGACAAGUUCAUCAAGUGAAGCUGUUACGACGUUGCUUGCUGAUCUCAAGAAGGAUUUUGCUCUAAAAGAUCUGGGGGACCUCAGUUACUUCCUGGGUAUUUAAAUUAAAAGAGAAAAGAAUACUCUGCUGCUAACACAAGAAAAGUAUGCAAAGGAGAUUUUGUCACGGGUUGGUAUGGAGAAUUGCAAACCAUCAUCUACACCAUUGUCUACUAGUGAGAAACUUUCAAAGUAUGAAGGGGAGUUGCUGAAUUCAAGCGAUAGUACGAGGUACAGAAGCGUCGUUGGUGCAUUGCAAUAUCUCACUCCUACCUGACCGGAUCUAGCAUUCUCUGUGAACAAAGUGUGUCAAUUUCUACAUGCUCCUACCACGGUUCAUUGGACUGCUGUAAAAAGGAUACUUCGGUAUGUCAAGUUCACAUUGGAUCUUGGACUAAAUUUUCAGGCGUCAUCCUCCACCUUGGUUAUUGCUUUCUGUGAUGCUGAUUGGGCAGGAAGUGUUGAUGAUAGAAGAUCUAUCGGAGGGUUUGCAGUUUUCUUUGGUCUGAACUUGAUUUCUUAGAGUGCUAGAAACCAAGCCACUAUCUCAAGAUCAAGUACAGAAGUUGAAUACAAGUCUAUGGCAAAUGCAACUGCAGAGUUAAUAUGGUUGGAAUCCUUGCUAAAGGAGCUGGGUAUACGGCUGCAUCAACCACCAUAUUUACAGUGUGACAAUUUGGGAGCUACAUAUUUGUCUGCCAAUCCAGUCUUUCAUGCGAGAGCAAAGCAUAUAGAAAUUGAUUUUCACUUUGUUCGCGAGCGUGUGGUAAAUAAAAAGCUGCAGGUGCUGUUGGUUGCUUCCAGAGACCAGCUUGCGGACUGUUUACCAAAGCCUUGCCGUGCGGAUUGCUGGAAGCUUUCAAGAGCAAUCUAAAUAUCAAAAGGAAGAGAAGUUUAGAUUGAGAGGGACUGUUAGAAGAACCGUCGUAUGAGACGAGGAUUGUAUCUUAGAGAUAAGAGUUGUUGGUUUGAGUUGGCCGGCUAGUAGAUAGACAUAGAAUCUUGAUGUAUUUGAAUGCUGGUUAACUCUAUCUGUAACAACAUGCAUUGUAAUCUCUUGGGACCUUCCCCCUAUAUAAACGUGCAACCACGGCGAGCCAAGAUAGGGCAACCGUGUUCAACUCUUUUGACACUGCUUCGUUAAGCUUUGUUGAGAACUCAUAAACUCACAUAGUUCUCCUCUGAGUAUUGUUCCUAACUAAAGAGUAAAAAGGUAAAAGCUCGGUGCCCGGAACCGACUCAGAACACUCGAGGCUUAACUUAGUUGGAGUUUAGCUAUUACCGUUGCCAGUGACCAGCCUCGAGCCCCUCUAGAAGCAAGGUGAUGUGAGGGUGCGAGUUUUACUAUAAGAGGUGUCCCCAUAGAACGUGCGAGGUUAAAGGUGUUCUGUUACUUUUCCUGCCGACGCAUAACUUGCAAGGUUAAGGGGUUUUUAUCCCACAAACGGUGCUCCAGGAUGUUCAGAUUUUUGGGAUCCCCAACAAACAUAAAUCUUGAGUGGCUCUAAAUUGUUGUUGGCCACAUCAUACCUUGUCUUGGGCUGCUGGGUCGUGUUGUGCACCACGAGUGCACGAUCAGACAUCCUGCAUUGUUAAGUCUUCGAUGAUACGGCUGCCUUGCUUCCUCAGCUUGUCAGCAACUGCUUCCUGACUGCUACAGUACAAUUAUUGCAUGGUAUCAAGGUAAUAUAUAUAGUGACUGAAUGAGCACAUAUAACAUAUGCAUUUAGGCCUCCAACUGGUCAUUGCACGAGCUGCCUCCUCUCCUUACCUCUGAAUUAUGGAGCCAUAUCCAACAACAACCUUGACAGUGAUGAUGAUGACGACGACGAUGAAAUUAAGAAAAGAAGCUUUAUGCAAAUUGCAAAAAGCUGAAAUAAGUGGUUGAAACAUUUCAAAUCACCAAAUGCCACAUUUGAAAUGACUAGAUGAAACAUCAUGAAAUCAAUUGCAACAGUUGAAGAUGAAAACAUUCAAACGCCUUGCCUUUCUCCAGAUUUGAUCCUCCAAGCAUAUAUGAGUCCAGACAUUUGCACAUUAGACCCUAGGGAGGAGCUCACCGGAGAACAACAAGACCGUGUUCUCCAACAAUUUUCCGAUCAAAUUGCAACAUAAAAAACAAAGCAUUGCAACACAUCUGGCAUCGCGAGCAACAACAUCAACCAGUUAGGAUCAGGAGAAAGAGGGCAAACCCAAGCCUAGCAAUGAGUUAUAUCCAGUUUAAACGAGGAUAAAAAUGAGUGUAUUUUCCACUCAUCAUGUUGUCUUUUCGCAGCUGUACCGCCUUUAGUGUGUUGUAUUGUUCCCCUAACACCAAGUCUCCGAGGCCCGAGAAAAUAAGGAAAGUGAUAGCAGCCCAGAAAUCGACCAAGUUUCUUUCCCCCUUUGGCAUUCCUACUAGAAUUCGGAAUACUCUUUCGCAUGACAAUCAUAAUUAUCUCCCACAAUCCAAAACUCACAAAAACAUCAAAAAUCUGCCGAGAAUAAAUUAAGUAAAAAACAUGCACAAACAGAUAAUAAUAAUAAUCAUGUUUCAAUAAAAUUGCUAAGGCCAGAGACAAUACAUAAACAUAUUAGACUGUUCAUGACACAUAUCACGGUGGACAGUGUCUGUGUCCUUAUUACAAGCAGCGAGAGGAAUUAAAUAUGCUUGUCACCACACACACGCGCGCGCAGAUGCACGACACACAUAUAGUUGAGACCAACAGAUGGACCUCGACUAGAGGUCGCCCCAUAUGGUGAACAAUUUAUUGGAGAUAAACAUGAACAUAACUUGGCCAUAGCUUGAAGCAUAGCAACAUAUGCCUAUGAAUGGCAUUCAUGCUGGUAGCAAUGCAAUCAUAUCGUUUUAGGCUUGUCCAGCUUCUUCCAUCUUAGCAAGCACUGCCAUUUCUUCCAUCUUAGCAGCAACUGUCAAAUUGAGAUAUGGAAAUCCCAUUAGCGCAUGAGUUAAUUUUGCAGUGGAAAUAGAGUACAAGAUGUCUUCAUGAUGUAAGUAAUAUGCCUGAAGUUGUGAGAUGGGAAGUGAAGUCAACAAAUUACAUUAACGGAAAUGCAUGGAAGGCCACACAUACGUAUUAGUCCACGAUAUGCUACAAAGCUUGUAUGUACAUAUAACAAAUUAAAUGCAUUGAAUAGAGUGAGUUUACUGAAUUUACCAGAAUCGGACAGAACACAUGGGAAACAGCAAGUGUUCUUGCAGAGUGAGUCGGAGCCACCUGCAGUAAUACAAGCAAAACAACAUGCUUUUGCCCGGGCGGAUACGCAGCAGCUGCACUGUGCCGCGGUGGCCGGGUUAACAUUGAGGCUCAAGAUGACCAGGCACAUGAUCACCAUCAAAGCGGUAGUCCUCUUUCCCUCCAUUGCCUCCUCUUUCUGCUACCUUCCUUGGUUACCUAGCUAAGUUUAUUAGUUUUGUGUUGAGAGGUGAUUCUUGAAUGGACGUUGCCGGCUGCAAUUUAUAGGCAGCUGCGCUAUGUGAUGAUAUGGACAAGGUGCAAAUGGGUGGUCCAAUGGCAAGGAAAGGGGGUAUUCUGCUUGACAUUGGCAUCAGACAAAGCCCAAUGGCAACUGCUGACACGCGAUUAAAAUCAGAUCCGCAUCUUAUCCAUCCAUUCACUAAUAAUUAAAGUAAACCCACGCGGUCCGCGAGAUGCAGCGUCCAUGCAUAGCACUUCCCGCCAAACAAUAGGAAAAAUUAGAAUUCAGAGAUAGGAGCUGCUUGCAUGAAACACGGUUGCACAGAAAUCAGUGGUGCUUGGACGGUAAGUAGUGUGGUGUACAAGCUUAAAGCGGCAGUGAGUCACGUUGGUGUAACAAGCAGUACAUCAGCUGGAAGAUUGAUAUGUCUAUUGCCCACGCAGCAUAGCAUUUUAUUAUGAUACAUUGAGUUAUGUCAUAUUGUUACUUUAAGUUAUUUUUUAAGUAUUAGUUGUAGACAAUUUAGUUGCAAAUUUAAGCGGUUAUUUUAAAUUAUUUUUUAUAAUGGCAUAAGUGGGUAAUUUAGAUGAAGAUUAGGGGGUUACUUUAGCUUAUUUUAUAUAAUAGCAGAGGUGGGUAAUUUAGAUAUAAAUUUAGGGUUACUUUAGGCUAUUUUCUUAAUGGCAUAGGUGGGUAAUUUUUUUAGAAAUUAUAAUAGAUCCAAUGGCUACGAUGUUUGAGUCUACUCGUUGAUGGCAAGAUGUUUUGCUUGUUUGUGGAAAUUUUAAAUAUGUCUCUUUUUUGUAGAGUGUCCACGUAGGAUCCUAGGUGGCUUCGCUUGGAGGCUUCAAAAGGAGGUCCAAAAUUAGUAAUAGUAUGAUUUUCUCAAAAGAGACUUAAUUCUACCACUGUAACUUGAUUGGCCGCCCCGGCCUCUACCUUUUGCCUCCAUUUGACUAUUUGAGUUGGCUGUGAACGAUUCUCGGCGCUAGCAACGUUACGUGUGAUCCAAAUGCCAGCACUCAUGUGCGCCACCUGUAUUCUAUGGGAAUGCCAUGAUGCAUGUGCAGUAACAGCGCGCACAUCUUGCAGGAUUCGCGCCUCGUUUUCACUAUUGUGUCAUCUUAGCAAUUAGGAGCGAAGUGUGCUUUGGGGUGGCAAUUGGGAUAUAGACAUUAUUCUCGAAAAGAAUCUUGAAGUCUUACAUUCACCCCCUCCGGUCGCCGGUUCCGAUCCUUCACCUAUAAAUUAGGAGUAGUAGUAGGUAGUAAGUGGCAGGUUAGGUAAGUACCCGUUGAUGAAUGUUGGCUUGGCGUGAUUGGCUCUGCUGGUUCCACGAAGAUGCCAAUAUACAGCAAGGACCUAGGUCCAAAGGGAAAAACAACCAACAAGUGGGUUUGUUGCCGACCGCUAGCUAAUCAACAGUGACGUACGGGUGGAUUCGUGCGUAAAUAUUUUUUCAAUCAUGCCAUCAGGCCGCUGAUAAAAUGGGCUUAUGGUUGGCUAACCUUUAAAACAUUCUUAGAGCUGUUGGCCAUUGUGAUAACUUUGCACGUGCAUCAUUAACAUGCCAACAUACAACAAGGACAUAAGACCAAAGGAAAGAACAACCAACAAGUGCCUUUGCUGAUCGGUCAGGUCUCAGAGUUUGAGAAACUGGAUCUGACGGAUGUGAAAUUAAUCCAUGCGUGGCCUCAUGCAAAUUUGUUCACAGGUUUGAACAGCAUGUAAUCUUUUUCAGGCAUCUAUAUGGAGCGUGGGUGUGUUAUGUUAUCUUCUACUACACAUAUAACAUCAAAUUCAUUCAGUUUGCCCGAGAGCCCAAAAUGCAACGAAUAUGCCAUCCAACGUGAAAAAAAAGAGAUGAGGAACAGUAUACUCUAUCUUCGAAAUUAGUCAACGAGAUGCAGCUUCAAAAGAGAUAAGAGCAGACAAGAGACACCAUGGGAUGCUGCAAAAUUUGGGAUCACGUGUGCAGAUCCCUUAUUAGGAAAAAAGAAUAAUUGAGCUAGCAACAAUAGUAGGACAUCUCCAUGCUCACCUAGUAUAGUAGCCACUUCUAGUGCGCGUGGAACACGACUGCCGGCCCAGUUGGCGCUAAGACAUCGUACGUGCAUUAAGUCUGAGGUGCUAGGACAGCUUCCUCUUGCUUCCCCACCAAAUCAUGAGCAACGAUCUCUUUCUUUCUAACUCAUGCUUGACUGUGACGGUGCUAUUAUAUAUUAUUGCAUGAUCAUCAAGAUAAGAUCGUAUAGUGACUGAGUGAGACAUCUAUGUACUAACUUGCAUUUAAGCCUCGAACUGUGUGUCAUUACGUGAGCUGCCUCCUGUCCUCGCCUCUGAAUUAUUGAACCGUUCCCAACAGCUUGGUCUCAAAGGAAUUUGACACCAAACAGAUUGAUAAAGAAAAGAGAAUAAUACUUGGAAUUGGAAAAAGUUGAUCUCUCUAUACAAUGAGGUAGGGCUCCCCUUUUAUAGUGACCCAUCAGCCACUUUACAUUCCGAAAAUGUCCUUCCUCAACCACUACAUUCUUAGGAUAUGCCAUACAUAAAUGUCAUUUGAGGUGACGUGUACAAAUUGAACUCUUCCACAUGGUCACGUUUCUCACGCCUCUUGUUUUCCAACCUCGAGACUUCAUCUUCAUGCCAAGUUGAUCAUCUAGCCUCGAGGCUCCAUCUACGAUCCGGAAUGAACGUACAGCCUCGAGGCUCCUGCUUCGUUAAGCUUUGUUGAGAACUCAUAACCUCACAUAGUUCUCCUCCGAGUAUUGUAUCUGACUAAAGAGUAAAAAGGUAAAAGCUCGGUGCCCGGAACCGACUGAGAACACUCGAGGCUUAGCUCAGUUGGAGUUUAGCUAUUACCGUUGCCAGUCACCAGCCUCGAGCCCCUCCAGAAACAAGGUGAUGCGAGAGUACGAGUUUUACUAUUAGAGGUGUCCCCAUAGAACGUGCGAGGUUAAUGAGUUCAGUUUCUUUUACUGCCGACGCAUAACAUGCGAGGAUCAACGAAUAUGAGGAACACUAUAUGCCAUCCAACGGGGGAAAAAAAAAGAUGAGGAACAGUAUACUCUAUCUUCGAAAUUAGUUAUAAAGAUUCAGCUUCAAAAGAGAUAACGAGGCGUCCAAGACUCGAGGAGCCAGUCAAGAGCAGACAAGAGGCACAUGAGUGCAUGCAUCCACACCUUGGGAUGCUGCAAACUUUUAUGAGGCUGCAAGCUGCAUACAUAAGUUUAUUUCACCUUUGUUCACAAUACUCUUCACACACCAUUCACACACGUCUCAGGGAGCUCUGCAGCAAUGGUGGAGAUCUUAGCUAGACUGCUCACUUCCCUUGUUGUCGCUAUUGCUAAAAACACAAGCUCACCUCUGCUAUUGCGAAGCAGACCAAUUUGCUGUGGAACUUUGGCGACGACCUGAAGGACAUGAAGUCGGUGCUGGAGUCCAUCUCAGCAGCGCUCCAGGACGCUGACACUGCUAGAAAAACAACCUUUCAUCCUCAACAAAAGUCCCGAUAGCUUUUUUACCUGGAACUAAAGAGGUUUUAGUGCUGCGCAAACACCUUUAGUCCGGGUUGCUGUUACCAACCAAGAGUAAAGGGUACGAUGGCACCAACCGGGACUAAAGCACCCCCCACGAGUUACUAUAAAGGAUUGCAUCCUCCACUUAGUCAGAUUUACUGUGUAGGUGAGAUGGUAAGGAAGCUAUGCGCGAGGCUUGAGAUCAUCGGUUCGAAUCCCACGCACCGCGCGCGCACGCGCAUAGUUUGAGUGAAAAAUCAUGUCACUUGUGAUCGGCCAAGGAGAAGUGGGUGCAGAUGUGGCUUAAGCGGCUGAGGCACGCCGCCAUAGACAUCUUGGAUUUGCUCGAAGACUACCAAGACACUAGUGAACCCUUAACAGCAAAGGUGAGUACUUAUGCAUGUCAACAUCUAUGUUGUCCAUGCUUCCAAUGCAAUAAGAAGAAGGACUACUCUUCCUAGCGGACUCUUCACAACCACUCAUAAAGCUAUGUGUUUCUCAAUGCAAUUUCGUAGAAGGCAAUGGAUCCAACCAACCGACUAAAUCAUUCGUCCUUGCCAAUGAUGUGCUUCAGGUUUUCCAUAUGAAGGACAUGUGACUACUAGAAAAACGAUCUUUCAUCCCUAGCCUUAGUACCGGUUGCAUUUGGAACCGGUACUAAUGUUUACAUUAGUACCAGUUCCAAAGGAUACUGUCCGGAGCGCACCUCGAUGACCCCUUUAGUACCGGUUGGGGGCAACAACCGGUACUAAAGGGUGAGCAUUAGUACCGGUUGUUACCUUAAUCCGGUACUAAAGGGCUACCCACCCUCUAUUACCGGUUGGUGGCAUCAACCGGUACUAAAAGGGAUACCCUCUAGCACCGGUUGCUGCCACAACCCGGUACUAGUGCGGCGCCAUGCAGAAUAGAAGGUAGAUCGAUUGUACAUGGAGGGGGAACAAAGGGAGAAAGGCAAAUCAUCAGCUUAUUAUCACAUGGUAGACUAGUCUUUAAAACAUGUUUAGGGCAGAGCACAUUACGUUUAUCUUGUUUUGCACAACAACAAAUGUGACCUUUAGAAGAUAGCCCUCCUCUAAUUAAACUAGUGCACUAUUACAGGAUGGUAUCGCACGCUUCCUUUUUCCCUAUGAAAAUGAAGUUUUUAAUGAUCUGAUAGCAGCUGGCAAAACAAAUGAUUGCAAAGAUGUUUGCAGAUGAUAAUGAUACUUAUGACCACUCUGAUGAUGAAGAGAUAGAGGAACAUUUGGUCCGUCAACGUAUUUCAAAUUAACACGUCAAAUCGCACUCAAGACCUCUCACCAACUCCUCCACCAGUUUCCAAAGGCAAAUCAACUUAUUAUCGCAUGCAUGGUAGUGUCUUUGAAACAUGUUUAGGGCACAACACAUUACGUUUAUCAUCUUUUGCACAACAUUAAAUGGACCUUUGGAAGAUAGCCCUCCUCUAAACUUGUGAUGCAUUGUAAUGAUAUGUCAUGUAUAUAUGUCUCACUUGUAUCAUAGCUGUUAAAGUACCACGUCAAAUUGCACUUGCGGUGAGAUCUCUCUGACCAAGUCCUCCACCACUUUCCAAGGCAAAUCAGACAAACUCCUUGUUAUAUUCCACAUAUUGGUUUCAUCCUUAUAUAGAUGUCCAUGUAUACUCUUUUGUUUGUCUACUCAACUUAUCACAUUGUCGUAGUGUCUUUGAAACAUGUUUAGGGAAAGUCCAUAGUGGAGGGUAGUAAAUGUCAAAGGGAGUUUGUAAGGAUAAGACAACACAAAUUUUGUAAGGGUAUUCUAAAGCAUUUGAUUCUAAACUAUCCGCGAGACCUCUCACAACCUCCUCCACCACUUUCCAAGAUAAUAUACAAUCAAAUUCCUUGUAGGAGUUUGGAUGUUGGACCAAUGGGAAGUUGACGAAAGAGUGGGACAAAAAUGUGACUCGAUCAUGUCAUUGUGGGCAAAGGUCCUGGUAGCUCAUGGAACAGAUCAUUUGAAGUACACAGGAUAGGGAGGCAAUAGUCGGCACAAGGAGAGGCAUGACCAGAAGCUUGAAAGAAGUAAACUUCAAAGCUAGGAGGAAUGUUAUUCUUGCUGGUUCAAUGUGUCUUCUUAUAGAUCAGUUCAUAGAUCUUAUGUAUUUGGCUGUGAUGAAAGCUAUGGAGCCCUCCCAGCCCCUUCGAGCUGAUGCUAAGCCCAAUCUAAACUGCAUAUGGAAUGUGAAAACUCUUUCUGCAAUGAGCCAAGCUAUCAAUCCAUACCUGUGAGGCAACAUCUCGAUUCUGUGGCUACUGACUGAGGUAUUUGGCAUAGAGUAGACCAAUGGUGCAUUGUGAAUAAGCUUAUUAGAAUGUGAAUAAGUCAGAAUUCUUGCUCGUCCUCCAUUUGUUCGCUCUCUGUUCUUUUGUUUACAAGGGACUCGGUUGAUCCGCGGGACCUCUCACCAACUCCUUCACCACUUUCCAAGGCAAAUCAGCUUAUCACAUGUGGUAGUAUCUUUGAAACAUGUUUAGGGCACAAGAGGAAGGCAUAGUGCUGGAAAAACGGUUAAUGGGGUGGCGGACGGCGGGAUGCUUCGCAUUCUCGUAUGAAGGAAGCUCCAUCAACUAGAUUGACGGUCAAGUUGCAUGAAGCAGAUGCCACAGUCGACGGAGAGAGCAUCUGGGUCUAACCAUAAUAACACAAGUCUUUCCUUUAGAUAACAUGCCAUCAGAUUCCUUGCAAGAGUUUGUAUGUUCGACCAACAGGAAGUUGACGAAAGAGUGGGACAAAAAUGUGACUCGAUCAUGUCAUUGUGGGCAAAGGUCCUAGUAGCUCAUGGAAUAGAUGAUAUCAUUUGAAGUACAUAGGACAGAGAGGCCAUAGUCGGCACAAGGAGAAGCAUGACCAGAAACUUGAAAGAGGUAAGCUUCAAAGCUAGGAGGAAUGUUAUUCUUGCUAGUUCAAUGGUGUCUUCUUAUAUAUCAGUUCAUAGAUCUUAUAUAUUUGGCCGUGAUGACAGCUAUGGAUCCCUCCGAGCCCCUUUGAGCCGAUGCCAAGCCCAAUCUGAACUGCACAUGGAACGUGAAAACUCUUUCUGCAAUGAGCCAAGCUAUCAAUAUCCAUCCCUGUGAGCCAACAUCUUGAUUCUGUGGCUACUGACUGAGGUAUUUGUCGUAGUGUCUUUGAAACAAGUCAAACACCUCACCAGGGGAUCAAGCUCCACGAGAACGAGAGCUACUUUCAGAUCCAGGAUAUUAAUCAACAAGUCAAACACCUUCCCAGGGGAUCAAGCUCCAUGAGAACGAGAGCUACUUUCAGUUCCAAGAUAUUAAUCAACAAGUCAAACACCUAACCAGGGGAUCAAGCUCCACGAGAACGAGAGCUACUUUCAGUUCUAGGAUAUGGGCAUAGCUGUGAGGGGGGCCACAACGCCCCUUUAUAUAAGGGCUACUGGUUUUGCCCUUGCCUUGUGAAGUUGUGCCACAUAACUCCCAAAAUCCCUCAAGAAAGAUAACACCACAAGCAGGAAGCCAAGUAGCUAUGGAACCUGUGACAGAUAUAGCUUCCUCAUUAUGUGACUCAUGUCAUUGUGGGUGCGGGGUGACCUUGAUCUACAACUUUGUAGUUGAAACAUUUUUCAUUUGGUGUCAUCUUGGUGCUCAAAUAAUCGACACGAACUAAAACUUGGCACCACACAUUCAAAAAAUAAUAAAAUUUAUAUGAACUCAGAUAUAGAUAAAAUUUAUAUCAAAAUUGUUGAUCUCAACGAGAUUUACAACUUUGUAGUUCAAAUUAUUUUCAUUUGGAGCCAUCUUGGUGCUCAAAUAAUCGAAACAUUUUCUAGAUCUAAAAUUUAAUUUUAGAUCGGAAACUUGUGUCGAUUAUUUGAGCACCAAGAUAAUACCAAAUGAAAAAUGUUUGAACUACAAAGUUGUAGAUCUCAUCGAGAUCUACAAUUUUCAUAUAAAGUUUAUCUCCAUCCGAGUUCAUAUGAAUUAGUUCAACCGGCGAUAAGGCUGCUACAGUGUAGCUUCCGCCGUUUCAAAUGGCGGUAUAGGUUUAGAUUAGCAAUUUUUGUAACCCAUAUAUUUUUGCAAAAUACUAAAAUAAAAAAUAUAAAAAUAAAAAAAAUCUAGUUUUAAUCAGCAAUGACUAAAUGUUAGCCCGGUUAUGCCCCAUCUUAGGUCUAAUCAUGGACCAAUAAAACAUGUGCUAGAAUUCAUGGCCACCGGAUGCGUGUUCGACCAUGUAAUCGUAUGCUAUACCUCACAGGAGGUUGAAAAUGGCCUGAAGGGGUACAGUGGAUGAAAACGUCGGGGACGCUCGGAACACAAGAAAAUGACCACCAGAUACAUGUUUGGCCAUUGUAACUGUGCUCUAUAGUUGAUAGGUUGAAAGCGGCUCGAAGAGGCAUCAGGGAUGGAAACAUGGGGGAUGGUUGGAACACUUGAAAAUGGCACUGGAUAAGUGUGCUUAUUCCUUACAAAAUGCUGAAAAUGGCUCAGAAGGGUCAUCGAGGAUGGAAACUAGGUGGUCAAUAAGUGAAAAUGGGCAGCGGACAUGUUCAGUCAUGUAACCGUGUGCUAUAGUCCACUAGAGGUCGGAAAGCUGCCCUAGGGGCUCUAGAGACGAAAACGUGAGGAAUAGCUGAAAGGUUACGUGUUUGGUCAUGACAGCCCUAUUAGGAAGCGAUAGAAGUGGAAAGAUAGCUGGUUUCAGAUUGGCAACCCAUCUUUUGCUUCCCCCUUACUUCCAUACGUAAUCCAUGGGCAUCGAAUUUAAAAGUAUACAAAUCACUUUUAGAUGUAAUUGAGGGUAAAGAGGGGAGGUUUCGUGAGACUCUACAAUGUUCAAAUCGUUCGUUCGUUAGGAUGCCUCAGCUACAUACAUCAUUGCACUUCCAGUUGACACCAAUUUAAAUGGUUCGUCUAGCCGCUACAAGGUAUCAUCAGAUAUAGAAGAAUUAGAGACUGGGGGUAAUAGCAAAAAAGGAAUAUAACUCGUCCGAGAAAGUGGGUGCAGGGGCAGUGGGGUAAGGUAAUUGAAGUAACUAGCCAGUUUCUUCCCGAAACUUCCCAAGAAAAAUCCCGAAUUGGAUCCAAAAUUGACGGAUUAAUCAACCAAAAUAACCGUGAGCAGCCACAAUGUUAUAAGUCCCUUCUUCUUGACCAAAUUUGUAACCCUUAUUAGCAGACUCAUUUUCAGUGGUUUCUUUCCCUGAUCAAACUAGAGGUUACCAAGGAACCGUGUGCUCUAGCCCACAGGUGGCCGAAAACGGCGAAGAAGGGCUUCGGGGAUGGAAACAACGUGGAUGGUCAGAACACGUGAGAAUGACCACGGGAUGCAUGUUUGGCCCUGUAACAGUGUGCUAUAGGAAGCCGGAAAUGGCCAGGAGGGUCACCAGGGAUGAAGAUGCAGGGAUGGAUGGAACACGCGAAAAUGGCCACCAGUGAUUAGUGGCAGGUCUACAGAGAUAUCUCAUCAAAUCGGUGAUUUAUAUCCGAUUUAAACGAGGAUAAAAAUGAGUGUAUUUUCCACCCAUCAUGUUGACUUUUCGCAGCUAUACUGCCUUUAGUGUGUUGUAUUGUUCCCAUGACACCAAGUCUCCAAGGCCCGAGAAAAUAAGGAAAGUGAUAGCAGCCUAGAAAUCGACCAAGUUUCUUUCCCCCUUUGGCAUUCCUACUAGGAUUCGGAAUACUCUUUCGCAUGACAAUCAUAAUUAUCUCCCAUAAUCCAAAACUCACAAAAACAUCAAAAAUCCGCCGAGAAUAAAUUAAGUAAAAAACAGGCACACAUAGAUAAUAAUAAUAAUAAUAAUAAUCAUGUUUCUAUAAAAUUGCUAAGGCCAGAGAUAAUACAUAAAAAUAUUAGACUGCUCAUGACACAUAUCACGGUGGACAAUGUCUGUGUCCUUAUUACAAGCAGCGAGAGGAAUUAAACAUGCUUGUCACCACACACACGAGCGCACAGAUGCACGACACACAUAUAGUUGAGACCAACAGAUGGACCUCGACUACAGGUCGCCCCAUAUGGUGAACAAUUUAUUGGAGAUAAACAUGAACAUAACUUGGCCAUAGCUUGAAGCAUAGCAACAUAUGCCUAUGAAUGGCAUUCAUGCUGGUAGCAAUGCAAUCAUAUCGUUUUAGGCCUGUCCAGCUUCUUCCAUCUUAGCAAGCACUGCCAUUUCUUCCAUCUUAGCAGCAACUGUCAAAUUGAGAUAUGGAAAUCCCAUUAGCGCAUGAGUUAAUUUUGCAGUGGAAAUAGAGUACAAGAUGUCUUCAUGAUGUAAGUAAUAUGCCUGAAGUUGUGAGAUGGGAAGUGAAGUCAACAAAUUACAUUAACGGAAAUGCAUGGAAGGCCACACAUACGUAUUAGUCCACGAUAUGCUACAAAGCUUGUAUGUACAUAUAACAAAUUAAAUGCAUUGAAUAGAGUGAGUUUACUGAAUUUACCAGAAUCGGACAGAACACAUGGGAAACAGCAAGUGUUCUUGCAGAGUGAGUCGGAGCCACCUGCAGUAAUACAAGCAAAACAACAUGCUUUUGCCCGGGCGGAUACGCAGCAGCUGCACUGUGCCGCGGUGGCCGGGUUAACAUUGAGGCUCAAGAUGACCAGGCACAUGAUCACCAUCAAAGCGGUAGUCCUCUUUCCCUCCAUUGCCUCCUCUUUCUGCUACCUUCCUUGGUUACCUAGCUAAGUUUAUUGGUUUUGUGUUGAGAGGUGAUUCUUGAAUGGACGUUGCCGGCUGCAAUUUAUAGGCAGCUGCGCUAUGUGAUGAUAUGGACAAGGUGCAAAUGGGUGGUCCAAUGGCAAGGAAAGGGGGUAUUCUGCUUGACAUUGGCAUCAGACAAAGCCCAAUGGCAACUGCUGACACGCGAUUAAAAUCAGAUCCGCAUCUUAUCCAGCCAUUCACUAAUAAUUAAAGUAAACCCACGCGGUCCGCGAGAUGCAGCGUCCAUGCAUAGCACUUCCCGCCAAACAAUAGGAAAAAUUAGAAUUCAGAGAUAGCAGCUGCUUGCAUGAAACACGGUUGCACAGAAAUCAGUGGUGCUUGGACGGUAAGUAGUGUGGUGUACAAGCUUAAAGCGGCAGUGAGUCAGGUUAGUGUAACAAGCAGUACAUCAGCUGGAAGAUUGAUAUGUCUAUUGCCCACGCAGCAUAGCAUUUUAUUAUGAUACAUUGAGUUAUGUCAUAUUGUUACUUUAAGUUAUUUUUUAAGUAUUAGUUGUAGACAAUUUAGUUGCAAAUUUAAGCGGUUAUUUUAAAUUAUUUUUUAUAAUGGCAUAAGUGGGUAAUUUAGAUGAAGAUUAGGGGGUUACUUUAGCUUAUUUUAUAUAAUAGCAGAGGUGGGUAAUUUAGAUAUAAAUUUAGGGUUACUUUAGGCUAUUUUCUUAAUGGCAUAGGUGGGUAAUUUUUUUAGAAAUUAUAAUAGAUCUAAUGGCUACGAUGUUUGAGUCUACUCGUUGAUGGCAAGAUAUUUUGCUUGUUUGUGGAAAUUUUAAAUAUGUCUCUUUUUUGUAGAGUGUCCACCUAGGAUCCUAGGUGGCUUCGCUUGGAGGCUUCAAAAGGAGCUCCAAAAUUAGUAAUAGUAUGAUUUUCUCAAAAGAGACUUAAUUCUACCACUGUAACUUGAUUGGCCACCCUGGCCUCUACCUUUUCCCUCCAUUUGACUAUUUGAGUUGGCUGUGAACGAUUCUCGGCGCUAGCAACGUUACGUGUGAUCCAAAUGCCAGCACUCAUGUGCGCCACCUGUAUUCUAUGGGAAUGCCAUGAUGCAUGUGCAGUAACAGCGCGCACAUCUUGCAGGAUUCGCGCCUCGUUUUCACUAUUGUGUCAUCUUAGCAAUUAAAAGCGAAGUGUGCUUUGGGGUGGCAAUUGGGAUAUAGACAUUAUUCUCAAAAAGAAUCUUGAAGGCUUACAUUCACCCCCUCCGGUCGCCGGUUCCGAUCCUUCACCUAUAAAUUAGGAGUAGUAGUAGGUAGUAAGUGGCAGGUUAGGUAAGUACCCGUUGAUGAAUGUUGGCUUGGCGUGAUCGGCUCUGCUGGUUCCACGAAGAUGCCAAUAUACAGCAAGGACCUAAGUCCAAGGGGAAAAACAACCAACAAGUAGGUUUGUUGCCGACCGCUAGCUAAUCAACAGUGAUGUACGGGUGGAUUCGUGCGUAAAUAUUUUUUCAAUCAUGCCAUCAGGCCGCUGAUAAAAUGGGCUUAUGUUUGGCUAACCUUUAAAACAUUCUUAGAGCUGUUGGCCAUUGUGAUAACUUUGCACGUGCAUCAUUAACAUGCCAACAUACAACAAGGACAUAAGACCAAAGGAAAGAACAACCAACAAGUGCCUUUGCUGAUCGGUCAGGUCUCAGAGUUUGAGAAACUGGAUCUGACGGAUGUGAAAUUAAUCCAUGCGUGGCCUCAUGCAAAUUUGUUCACAGGUUUGAACAGCAUGUAAUCUUUUUCAGGCAUCUAUAUGGAGCGUGGGUGUGUUAUGUUAUCUUCUACUACACAUAUAACAUCAAAUUCAUUCAGUUUGGCCGAGAGCCCAAAAUGCAACGAAUAUGCCAUCCAACGUGAAAAAAAAGAGAUGAGGAACAGUAUACUCUAUCUUCGAAAUUAGUCAACGAGAUGCAGCUUCAAAAGAGAUAAGAGCAGACAAGAGGCACCAUGGGAUGCUGCAAAAUUUGGGAUCACGUGUGCAGAUCCCUAAUUAGGAAAAAAGAAUAAUUGAGCUAGCAACAAUAGUAGGACAUCUCCAUGCUCACCUAGUAUAGUAGCCACUUCUAGUGCGCGUGGAACACGACUGCCGGCCCAGUUGGCGCUAAGACAUCGUACGUGCAUUAAGUCUGAGGUGCUAGGACAGCUUCCUCUUGCUUCCCCACCAAAUCAUGAGCAACGAUCUCUUUCUUUCUAACUCAUGCUUGACUGUGACGGUGCUAUUAUAUAUUAUUGCAUGAUCAUCAAGAUAAGAUCGUAUAGUGACUGAGUGAGACAUCUAUGUACUAACUUGCAUUUAAGCCUCGAACUGUGUGUCAUUACGUGAGCUGCCUCCUGUCCUCGCCUCUGAAUUAUUGAACCGUUCCCAACAGCUAGUGUUGGUCUCAAAGGAAUUUGACACCAAACAGAUUGAUAAAGAAAAGAGAAUAAUACCUGGAAUUGGAAAAAGUUGAUCUCUCUAUACAAUGAGGUAGGGCUCCCCUUUUAUAGUGACCCAUCAGCCACUUUACAUUCCGAAAAUGUCCUUCCUCAACCACUACAUUCUUAGGAUAUGCCAUACAUAAAUGUCAUUUGAGGUGACGCGUACAAAUUGAACUCUUCCACGUGGUCACGUUUCUCACGCCUCUUGUUUUCCAACCUCGAGACUUCAUCUUCAUGCCAAGUUGAUCAUCUAGCCUCGAGGCUCCAUCUACGAUCCGGAAUGAACGUACAGCCUCGAGGCUCCUGCUUCGUUAAGCUUUGUUGAGAACUCAUAACCUCACAUAGUUCUCCUCCGAGUAUUGUAUCUGACUAAAGAGUAAAAAGGUAAAAGCUCGGUGCCCGGAACCGACUGAGAACACUCGAGGCUUAUAGCUCAGUUGGAGUUUAGCUAUUACCGUUGCCAGUCACCAGCCUCGAGCCCCUCCAGAAACAAGGUGAUGCGAGAGUACGAGUUUUACUAUUAGAGGUGUCCCCAUAGAACGUGCGAGGUUAAUGAGUUCAGUUUCUUUUACUGCCGACGCAUAACAUGCGAGGAUCAACGAAUAUGAGGAAUGGGACAUAGAACGUGCGAGGUUAAUGAGUUCAGUUUCUUUUACUGCCGACGCAUAACAUGCGAGGAUCAACGAAUAUGAGGAACACUAUAUGCCAUCCAACGGGAAAAAAAAAGAUGAGGAACAGUAUACUCUAUCUUCGAAAUUAGUUAUAAAGAUUCAGCUUCAAAAGAGAUAACGAGGUGUCCAAGACUCGAGGAGCCAGUCAAGAGCAGACAAGAGGCACAUGAGUGCAUGCAUCCACACCUUGGGAUGCUGCAAACUUUUAUGAGGCUGCAAGCUGCAUACAUAAGUUUAUUUCACCUUUGUUCACAAUACUCUUCACACACCAUUCACACACGUCUCAGGGAGCUCUGCAGCAAUGGUGGAGAUCUUAGCUAGACUGCUCACUUCCCUUGUUGUCGCUAUUGCUAAAAACACAAGCUCACCUCUGCUAUUGCGAAGCAGGCCAAUUUGCUGUGGAACUUUGGCGACGACCUGAAGGACAUGAAGUCGGUGCUGGAGUCCAUCUCAGCAGCGCUCCAGGACGCUGACACUGCUAGAAAAACGACCUUUCAUCCUCAACAAAAGUCCCGGUAGCUUUUUUACCUGGAACUAAAGAGGUUUUAGUGCUGCGCAAACACCUUUAGUCCGGGUUGCUGUUACCAACCAGGAGUAAAGGGUACGAUGGCACCAACCGGGACUAAAGCACCCCCCACGAGUUACUAUAAAGGAUUGCAUCCUCCACUUAGUCAGAUUUACUGUGUAGGUGAGAUGGUAAGGAAGCUAUGCGCGAGGCUUGAGAUCAUCGGUUCGAAUCCCAUGCACCGCGCGCGCACGCGCAUAGUUUGAGUGAAAAAUCAUGUCACUUGUGAUCGGCCAAGGAGAAGUGGGUGCAGAUGUGGCUUAAGCGGCUGAGGCACGCCGCCAUAGACAUCUCGGAUUUGCUACAUACAUCAUUGCACUUCCAAUUGACACCAAUUUAAAUGGUUCGUCUAGCCGCUACAAGGUAUCAUCAGAUAUAGAAGAAUUAGAGACUGGGGGUAAUAGCAAAAAAGGAAUAUAACUCGUCCGAGAAAUUGGGUGCAGGGGCGUGGGGUAAGGUAAUUGAAGUAACUAGCCAGUUUCUUCCCGAAACUUCCCAAGAAAAAUCCCGAAUUGGAUCCAAAAUUGACGGAUUAAUCAACCAAAAUAACCGUGAGCAGCCACAAUGUUAUAAGUCCCUUCUUCUUGACCAAAUUUGUAACCCUUAUUAGCAUACUCAUUUUCAGUGGUUUCCGUGAUCAAACUAGAGGUUACCAAGGAACCGUGUGCUCUAGCCCACAGGUGGCCGAAAACGGCCAAGAAGGGCUUCGGGGAUGGAAACAACGUGGAUGGUCAGAACACGUGAGAAUGACCACGGGAUGCAUGUUUGGCCCUGUAACAGUGUGCUAUAGAAAGCCGGAAAUGGCCAGGAGGGUCACCAGGGAUGAAGAUGCAGGGAUGGAUGGAACACGCGAAAAUGGCCACCAGUGAUUAGUGGCAGGUCUAGAGAGAUAUCUCAUCAAAUCGGUGAGUUAUAUCCGAUUUAAACGAGGAUAAAAAUGAGUGUAUUUUCCACCCAUCAUGUUGACUUUUCGCAGCUAUACUGCCUUUAGUGUGUUGUAUUGUUCCCAUGACACCAAGUCUCCAAGGCCCGAGAAAAUAAGGAAAGUGAUAGCAGCCCAGAAAUCGACCAAGUUUCUUUCCCCCUUUGGCAUUCCUACUAGGAUUCGGAAUACUCUUUCGCAUGACAAUCAUAAUUAUCUCCCAUAAUCCAAAACUCACAAAAACAUCAAAAAUCCGCCUAGAAUAAAUUAACUAAAAAACAUGCACACACAGAUAAUAAUAAUAAUAAUAAUAAUAAUAAUAAUAAUAAUAAUAAUAAUAAUAAUGUUUCUAUAAAAUUGCGAAGGCCAGAGACAAUACAUAAAAAUAUUAGACUGCUCAUGACACAUAUCACGGUGGACAGUGUCUACGUCCUUAUUACAAGCAGCGAGAGGAAUUAAACAUGCUUGUCACCACACACACGCGCGCGCACAGAUGCACGACACACAUAUGGUUGAGACCAACAAAUGGACCUCGACUAGAGGUCGCCCCAUAUGGUGAACAAUUUAUUGGAGAUAAACAUGAACAUAACUUGGCCAUAGCUUGAAGCAUAGCAACAUAUGCCUAUGAAUGGCAUUCAUGCUGGUAGCAAUGCAAUCAUAUCGUUUUAGGCUUGUCCAGCUUCUUCCAUCUUAGCAAGCACUGCCAUUUCUUCCAUCUUAGCAGCAACUGUCAUAUUGAGAUAUGGAAAUCCCAUUAGCGUAGGAGCUAAUUUUGCAGUGGAAAUAGAGUACAAGAUGUCUUCAUGAUGUAAGUAAUAUGCCUGAAGUUGUUAGAUGGGAAGUGAAGUCAACAAAUUACAUUAACGGAAAUGUAUGGAAGGCCACACAUACGUAUUAGUCCACGAUAUGCUACAAAGCUUGUAUGUACAUAUAACAAAUUAAAUGCAUUGAAUAGAGUGAGUUUACUGAAUUUACCAGAAUCGGACAGAACACAUGGGAAACAGCAAGUGUUCUUGCAGAGUGAGUCGGAGCCACCUGCAGUAAUACAAGCAAAACAACAUGCUUUUGCCCGGGCGGAUACGCAGCAGCUGCACUGUGCCGCGGUGGCCGGGUUAACAUUGAGGCUCAAGAUGACCAGGCACACGAUCACCAUCAAAGCGGUAGUCCUCUUUCCCUCCAUUGCCUCCUCUUUCUGCUACCUUCCUUGGUUACCUAGCUAAGUUUAUUGGUUUUGUGUUGAGAGGUGAUUCUUGAAUGGACGUUGCCGGCUGCAAUUUAUAGGCAGCUGCGCUAUGUGAUGAUAUGGACAAGGUGCAAAUGGGUGGUCCAAUGGCAAGGAAAGGGGGUAUUCUGCUUGACAUUGGCAUCAGACAAAGCCCAAUGGCAACUGCUGACACGCGAUUAAAAUCAGAUCCGCAUCUUAUCCAGCCAUUCACUAAUAAUUAAAGUAAACCCACGCGGUCCGCGAGAUGCAGCGUCCAUGCAUAGCACUUCCCGCCAAACAAUAGGAAAAAUUAGAAUUCAGAGAUAGCAGCUGCUUGCAUGAAACACGGUUGCACAGAAAUCAGUGGUGCUUGGACGGUAAGUAGUGUGGUGUACAAGCUUAAAGCGGCAGUGAGUCAGGUUGGUGUAACAAGCAGUACAUCAGCUGGAAGAUUGAUAUGUCUAUUGCCCACGCAGCAUAGCAUUUUAUUAUGAUACAUUGAGUUAUGUCAUAUUGUUACUUUAAGUUAUUUUUUAAGUAUUAGUUGUAGACAAUUUAGUUGCAAAUUUAAGCGGUUAUUUUAAAUUAUUUUUUAUAAUGGCAUAAGUGGGUAAUUUAGAUGAAGAUUAGGGGGUUACUUUAGCUUAUUUUAUAUAAUAGCAGAGGUGGGUAAUUUAGAUAUAAAUUUAGGGUUACUUUAGGCUAUUUUCUUAAUGGCAUAGGUGGGUAAUUUUUUUAGAAAUUAUAAUAGAUCCAAUGGCUACGAUGUUUGAGUCUACUCGUUGAUGGCAAGAUAUUUUGCUUGUUUGUGGAAAUUUUAAAUAUGUCUCUUUUUUGUAGAGUGUCCACCUAGGAUCCUAGGUGGCUUCGCUUGGAGGCUUCAAAAGGAGCUCCAAAAUUAGUAAUAGUAUGAUUUUCUCAAAAGAGACUUAAUUCUACCACUGUAACUUGAUUGGCCACCCCGGCCUCUACCUUUUCCCUCCAUUUGACUAUUUGAGUUGGCUGUGAACGAUUCUCGGCGCUAGCAACGUUACGUGUGAUCCAAAUGCCAGCACUCAUGUGCGCCACCUGUAUUCUAUGGGAAUGCCAUGAUGCAUGUGCAGUAACAGCGCGCACAUCUUGCAGGAUUCGCGCCUCGUUUUCACUAUUGUGUCAUCUUAGCAAUUAGGAGCGAAGUGUGCUUUGGGGUGGCAAUUGGGAUAUAGACAUUAUUCUCGAAAAGAAUCUUGAAGGCUUACAUUCACCCCCUCCGGUCGCCGGUUCCGAUCCUUCACCUAUAAAUUAGGAGUAGUAGUAGGUAGUAAGUGGCAGGUUAGGUAAGUACCCGUUGAUGAAUGUUGGCUUGGCGUGAUCGGCUCUGCUGGUUCCACGAAGAUGCCAAUAUACAGCAAGGACCUAAGUCCAAGGGGAAAAACAACCAACAAGUAGGUUUGUUGCCGACCGCUAGCUAAUCAACAGUGAUGUACGGGUGGAUUCGUGCGUAAAUAUUUUUUCAAUCAUGCCAUCAGGCCGCUGAUAAAAUGGGCUUAUGUUUGGCUAACCUUUAAAACAUUCUUAGAGCUGUUGGCCAUUGUGAUAACUUUGCACGUGCAUCAUUAACAUGCCAACAUACAACAAGGACAUAAGACCAAAGGAAAGAACAACCAACAAGUGCCUUUGCUGAUCGGUCAGGUCUCAGAGUUUGAGAAACUGGAUCUGACGGAUGUGAAAUUAAUCCAUGCGUGGCCUCAUGCAAAUUUGUUCACAGGUUUGAACAGCAUGUAAUCUUUUUCAGGCAUCUAUAUGGAGCGUGGGUGUGUUAUGUUAUCUUCUACUACACAUAUAACAUCAAAUUCAUUCAGUUUGGCCGAGAGCCCAAAAUGCAACGAAUAUGCCAUCCAACGUGAAAAAAAAGAGAUGAGGAACAGUAUACUCUAUCUUCGAAAUUAGUCAACGAGAUGCAGCUUCAAAAGAGAUAAGAGCAGACAAGAGGCACCAUGGGAUGCUGCAAAAUUUGGGAUCACGUGUGCAGAUCCCUAAUUAGGAAAAAAGAAUAAUUGAGCUAGCAACAAUAGUAGGACAUCUCCAUGCUCACCUAGUAUAGUAGCCACUUCUAGUGCGCGUGGAACACGACUGCCGGCCCAGUUGGCGCUAAGACAUCGUACGUGCAUUAAGUCUGAGGUGCUAGGACAGCUUCCUCUUGCUUCCCCACCAAAUCAUGAGCAACGAUCUCUUUCUUUCUAACUCAUGCUUGACUGUGACGGUGCUAUUAUAUAUUAUUGCAUGAUCAUCAAGAUAAGAUCGUAUAGUGACUGAGUGAGACAUCUAUGUACUAACUUGCAUUUAAGCCUCGAACUGUGUGUCAUUACGUGAGCUGCCUCCUGUCCUCGCCUCUGAAUUAUUGAACCGUUCCCAACAGCUAGUGUUGGUCUCAAAGGAAUUUGACACCAAACAGAUUGAUAAAGAAAAGAGAAUAAUACCUGGAAUUGGAAAAAGUUGAUCUCUCUAUACAAUGAGGUAGGGCUCCCCUUUUAUAGUGACCCAUCAGCCACUUUACAUUCCGAAAAUGUCCUUCCUCAACCACUACAUUCUUAGGAUAUGCCAUACAUAAAUGUCAUUUGAGGUGACGCGUACAAAUUGAACUCUUCCACGUGGUCACGUUUCUCACGCCUCUUGUUUUCCAACCUCGAGACUUCAUCUUCAUGCCAAGUUGAUCAUCUAGCCUCGAGGCUCCAUCUACGAUCCGGAAUGAACGUACAGCCUCGAGGCUCCUGCUUCGUUAAGCUUUGUUGAGAACUCAUAACCUCACAUAGUUCUCCUCCGAGUAUUGUAUCUGACUAAAGAGUAAAAAGGUAAAAGCUCGGUGCCCGGAACCGACUGAGAACACUCGAGGCUUAUAGCUCAGUUGGAGUUUAGCUAUUACCGUUGCCAGUCACCAGCCUCGAGCCCCUCCAGAAACAAGGUGAUGCGAGAGUACGAGUUUUACUAUUAGAGGUGUCCCCAUAGAACGUGCGAGGUUAAUGAGUUCAGUUUCUUUUACUGCCGACGCAUAACAUGCGAGGAUCAACGAAUAUGAGGAACACUAUAUGCCAUCCAACGGGAAAAAAAAGAUGAGGAACAGUAUACUCUAUCUUCGAAAUUAGUUAUAAAGAUUCAGCUUCAAAAGAGAUAACGAGGCGUCCAAGACUCGAGGAGCCAGUCAAGAGCAGACAAGAGGCACAUGAGUGCAUGCAUCCACACCUUGGGAUGCUGCAAACUUUUAUGAGGCUGCAAGCUGCAUACAUAAGUUUAUUUCACCUUUGUUCACAAUACUCUUCACACACCAUUCACACACGUCUCAGGGAGCUCUGCAGCAAUGGUGGAGAUCUUAGCUAGACUGCUCACUUCCCUUGUUGUCGCAAUUGCUAAAAACACAAGCUCACCUCUGCUAUUGCGAAGCAGGCCAAUUUGCUGUGGAACUUUGGCGACGACCUGAAGGACAUGAAGUCGAUGCUGGAGUCCAUCUCAGCAGCGCUCCAGGACGCUGACACUGCUAGAAAAACGACCUUUCAUCCUCAACAAAAGUCCCGGUAGCUUUUUUACCUGGAACUAAAGAGGUUUUAGUGCUGCGCAAACACCUUUAGUCCGGGUUGCUGUUACCAACCAAGAGUAAAGGGUACGAUGGCACCAACCGGGACUAAAGCACCCCCCACGAGUUACUAUAAAGGAUUGCAUCCUCCACUUAGUCAGAUUUACUGUGUAGGUGAGAUGGUAAGGAAGCUAUGCGCGAGGCUUGAGAUCAUCGGUUCGAAUCCCACGCACCGCGCGCGCACGCGCAUAGUUUGAGUGAAAAAUCAUGUCACUUGUGAUCGGCCAAGGAGAAGUGGGUGCAGAUGUGGCUUAAGCGGCUGAGGCACGCCGCCAUAGACAUCUCGGAUUUGCUCGAAGACUACCAAGACACUAGCGAACCCUUAACAGCAAAGGUGAGUACUUAUGCGUGUCAACAUCUAUGUUGUCCAUGCUUCCAAUGCAAUAAGAAGAAGGACUACUCUUCCUAGCGGACUCUUCACAACCACUCGUAAAGCUAUGUGUUUCUCAAUUCAAUUUCGUAGAAGGCAAUGGAUCCAAUCAACCGACUAAAUCAUUCGUCCUUGCCAAUGAUGUGCUUCAGGUUUUCUAUAUGAAGGACAUGUGACUACUAGAAAAACGAUCUUUCAUCCCUAGCCUUAGUACCGGUUGCAUUUGGAACCGGUACUAAUGUUUACAUUAGUACCGGUUCCAAAGGAUACUAUCCGGAGCGCACCUCGAUGACCCCUUUAGUACCGGUUGGGGGCAACAACCGGUACUAAAGGGUGAGCAUUAGUACCGGUUGUUACCUUAAUCCGGUACUAAAGGGCUACCCACCCUCUAUUACCGGUUGGUGGCAUCAACCGGUACUAAAAGGGAUACCCUCUAGCACCGGUUGCUGCCACAACCCGGUACUAGUGCGGCGCCAUGCAGAAUAGAAGGUAGAUCGAUUGUACAUGGAGGGGGAACAAAGGGAGAAAGGCAAAUCAUCAGCUUAUUAUCACAUGGUAGACUAGUCUUUAAAACAUGUUUAGGGCAGAGCACAUUACGUUUAUCUUGUUUUGCACAACAACAAAUGUGACCUUUAGAAGAUAGCCCUCCUCUAAUUAAACUAGUGCACUAUUACAGGAUGGUAUCGCACGCUUCCUUUUUCCCUAUGAAAAUGAAGUUUUUAAUGAUCUGAUAGCAGCUGGCAAAACAAAUGAUUGCAAAGAUGUUUGCAGAUGUUUGCAGAUGAUAAUGCCACAGUCGACGGAGAGAGCAUCUGGGUCUAACCAUAAUAACACAAGUCUUUCCUUUAGAUAACAUGCCAUCAGAUUCCUUGCAAGAGUUUGUAUGUUCGACCAACAGGAAGUUGACGAAAGAGUGGGACAAAAAUGUGACUCGAUCAUGUCAUUGUGGGCAAAGGUCCUAGUGGCUCAUGGAAUAGAUGAUAUCACUUGAAGUACAUAGGACAGAGAGGCCAUAGUCGGCACAAGGAGAAGCAUGACCAGAAACUUGAAAGAGGUAAGCUUCAAAGCUAGGAGGAAUGUUAUUCUUGCUAGUUCAAUGGUGUCUUCUUAUAGAUCAGUUCAUAGAUCUUAUAUAUUUGGCCGUGACGAUAAUAAAUAUUUAAUAUGAACUCAGAUAUAGAUAAAAUUUAUAUCAAAAUUGUUGAUCUCAACGAGAUUUACAACUUUGUAGUUCAAAUUAUUUUCAUUUGGAGCCAUCUUGGUGCUCAAAUAAUCGAAACAUUUUUUAGAUCUAAAAUUUAAUUUUAGAUCUAAAACUUGUGUCGAUUAUUUGAGCACCAAGAUAAUACCAAAUGAAAAAUGUUUGAACUACAAAGUUGUAGAUCUCGUCGAGAUCUACAAUUUUCAUAUAAAGUUUAUCUCCAUCCGAGUUCAUAUGAAUUAGUUCAACCGGCGGUAAUGCUGCUACAGUGUAGCUUCUGCCGUUUCAAACGACGGUAUAGGUUUAGAUUACCAAUUUUUUUUAACCCAUAUAUUUUUGCAAAAUACUAAAAUAAAAAAUAUAUAAAAAAAUUCUAGUUUUAAUCAGCAAUGACUAAAUGUUAGCCCGGUUAUGCCCCAUGUUAGGUCUAGUCAUGGACCAAUAAAACAUGUGCUAGACUUCAUGGCCACCGGAUGCGUGUUCAACCAUGUAAUCGUAUGCUAUACCUCACAGGAGGUUGAAAAUGGCCCGAAGGGGUACAGUGGAUGAAAACGUCGGGGACACUCGGAACACAAGAAAAUGACCACCAGAUACGUGUUUGGCCAUUGUAACUGUGCGCUAUAGUUGAUAGGUUGAAAGCGGCUCGAAGAGGCAUCAGGGAUGGAAACAUGGGGGAUGGUCGGAACACUUGAAAAUGGCACUGGAUAAGUGUGCUUAUUCCUUACAAAACGCUGAAAAUGGCUCGGAAGGGUCAUCGAGGAUGGAAACUAGGUGGUCAAUAAGUGAAAAUGGGCAGCGGACAUGUUCGGUCAUGUAACCGUGUGCUAUAGUCCACUAGAGGUCGGAAAGCUGCCCUAGGGGCUCUAGAGACGAAAACGUGAGGAACAGCUAAAAGGUUACGUGUUUGGUCAUGACAGCCCUAUUAGGAAGCGAUAGAAGUGGAAAGAUAGCUGGUUUCAGAUUGGCAACCCAUCUUUUGCUUCCCCCUUACUUCCAUCCGUAAUCCAUGGGCAUCGAAUUUAAAAGUAUACAAAUCACUUUUAGAUGUAAUUGAGGGUAAAGAGGGGAGGUUUCGUGAGACUCUACAAUGUUCAAAUCGUUCAUUCGUUAGGAUGCCUCAGCUACAUACAUCAUUGCACUUCCAAUUGACACCAAUUUAAAUGGUUCGUCUAGCCGCUACAAGGUAUCAUCAGAUAUAGAAGAAUUAGAGACUGGGGGUAAUAGCAAAAAAGGAAUAUAACUCGUCCGAGAAAUUGGGUGCAGGGGCGUGGGGUAAGGUAAUUGAAGUAACUAGCCAGUUUCUUCCCGAAACUUCCCAAGAAAAAUCCCGAAUUGGAUCCAAAAUUGACGGAUUAAUCAACCAAAAUAACCGUGAGCAGCCACAAUGUUAUAAGUCCCUUCUUCUUGACCAAAUUUGUAACCCUUAUUAGCAUACUCAUUUUCAGUGGUUUCCGUGAUCAAACUAGAGGUUACCAAGGAACCGUGUGCUCUAGCCCACAGGUGGCCGAAAACGGCCAAGAAGGGCUUCGGGGAUGGAAACAACGUGGAUGGUCAGAACACGUGAGAAUGACCACGGGAUGCAUGUUUGGCCCUGUAACAGUGUGCUAUAGAAAGCCGGAAAUGGCCAGGAGGGUCACCAGGGAUGAAGAUGCAGGGAUGGAUGGAACACGCGAAAAUGGCCACCAGUCAUUAGUGGCAGGUCUAGAGAGAUAUCUCAUCAAAUCGGUGAGUUAUAUCCGAUUUAAACGAGGAUAAAAAUGAGUGUAUUUUCCACCCAUCAUGUUGACUUUUCGCAGCUAUACUGCCUUUAGUGUGUUGUAUUGUUCCCAUGACACCAAGUCUCCAAGGCCCGAGAAAAUAAGGAAAGUGAUAGCAGCCCAGAAAUCGACCAAGUUUCUUUCCCCCUUUGGCAUUCCUACUAGGAUUCGGAAUACUCUUUCGCAUGACAAUCAUAAUUAUCUCCCAUAAUCCAAAACUCACAAAAACAUCAAAAAUCCGCCGAGAAUAAAUUAACUAAAAAACAUGCACACACAGAUAAUAAUAAUAAUAAUAAUAAUAAUAAUAAUAAUAAUAAUAAUAAUAAUAAUAAUAAUAAUAAUCAUGUUUCUAUAAAAUUGCUAAGGCCAGAGACAAUACAUAAAAAUAUUAGACUGCUCAUGACACAUAUCACGGUGGACAGUGUCUGUGUCCUUAUUACAAGCAGCGAGAGGAAUUAAACAUGCUUGUCACCACACAUGCGCGCGCACAGAUGCACGACACACAUAUGGUUGAGACCAACAGAUGGACCUCGACUAGAGGUCGCCCCAUAUGGUGAACAAUUUAUUGGAGAUAAACAUGAACAUAACUUGGCCAUAGCUUGAAGCAUAGCAACAUAUGCCUAUGAAUGGCAUUCAUGUUGGUAGCAAUGCAAUCAUAUCGUUUUAGGCUUGUCCAGGUUCUUCCAUCUUAGCAAGCACUGCCAUUUCUUCCAUCUUAGCAGCAACUGUCAAAUUGAGAUAUGGAAAUCCCAUUAGCGCAUGAAUUAAUUUUGCAGUGGAAAUAGAGUACAAGAUAUCUUCAUGAUGUAAGUAAUAUGCCUGAAGUUGUGAGAUGGGAAGUGAAGUCAACAAAUUACAUUAACGGAAAUGCAUGGAAGGCCACACAUAUGUAUUAGUCCACGAUAUGCUACAAAGCUUGUAUGUACAUAUAACAAAUUAAAUGCAUUGAAUAGAGUGAGUUUACUGAAUUUACCAGAAUCGGACAGAACACAUGGGAAACAGCAAGUGUUCUUGCAGAGUGAGUCGGAGCCACCUGCAGUAAUACAAGCAAAACAACAUGCUUUUGCCCGGGCGGAUACGCAGCAGCUGCACUGUGCCGCGGUGGCCGGGUUAACAUUGAGGCUCAAGAUGACCAGGCACAUGAUCACCAUCAAAGGGGUAGUCCUCUUUCCCUCCAUUGCCUCCUCUUGCUGCUACCUUCCUUGGUUACCUAGCUAAG